This 55288-nucleotide long non-coding RNA is filed under the name Coffea arabica (coffee). RNAcentral describes it as "long non-coding RNA (CARA_LNC000009)". The record is from RNAcentral. Lineage: Eukaryota; Viridiplantae; Streptophyta; Magnoliopsida; Gentianales; Rubiaceae.
UGUAUAAGCAGUACAGGACAGUGAAGGACUCCUGCAGACUCAGGAACAUCAUAGAGGAGCUCCUCCAAGCAGGGGAAUGGAGGCUGAAGUUCUUCCCCAAACUGCUCCAGCGUCACCUCUGCAUCCGCUUCAAUGAACAUGACACCCUCCCCCGUGCAGUCCACCACCAGCUUCCUCCCGGCGCAUUCUCUGAGACGCCCCGCGAAGGGUAGUAGAACACCAGAGCCUUGGCAAUAGCCUCCCUGAUCACCUUCACGGGGUCUCUACUGGCCAUCAUCGCUGCGGUAAAACUGGAUGACAGGGAUUUGAAAGCGAAGACCCUCUUGAUCGUCGAUGUCAGAGAGGAGCUUGCAUUCCCGAGGAGUGGACUUCGCCGGACGGACCAGCUCAGGCUUUUGUCUGGUCACCCUGAAUGUCAGAGACUUUGAUCCAUUUUGUUGUCCACAAACAAAACUGCUACGCACGCAGUGAUUUGACCACCACCAACGAAUAUAUUUGCUCAGGCUCAGGCUUAGGAAAUGAAAGCACUAGUAAUGAGAAUGCUUUAAUUGUGCGUAUACAGAUAUAGAUAGUCUGACACAGGAGAAGAAAGAAAGAAGGUUUGGUAGUUCUGAGGAUGCCUUCCUUCCUUUCCAGCAUGGAUUUAUAUAGUACCACUGAGUGUAACAGUAGUCAUACAGGAGUUGAAGGAAAAAACACACAACAUGUCUAGUGCACUUACCACUUAAUUGGAUCUUAUUUGCAUGUACAUUUUCCUCAUCUUUUCCCACUUCUUUUGUCAAUUGACUGACCUGUUAUUUGUCUUAGUCUUCUUCUCAGUUCUCACUUUGAGGCCUUCACACUACAAUACAACAAAAAGAUGGUUGUUAAAACUUGGAUCAAAACUCUCAAAUGAAUUUUUCUAUUCCUAGAAUUUCUGGGCUACUUCUCUCAACACAUUAUUGUACCAGUAGCAUCCUUUAAUUUUCCCUUGAGUUUCUCGUACUUCUAUGUGAUGUGGAAGCCCACCUGCAAAUAGAAAACAAAUUCCCGUUUCAGCUUUUUGGUCUAAUAGUACCAAAAGUGAUGAUGCUUCAAUUCAAUUUCAUUACUGACCUUCCAAAGAUAAUGUUAGGUAGUUUUCUUUUAUCAUUCAUUACGCCAUAUAUAUUACUACAAAUAAAAAUUUUUUUUUUUGAAAGAACUAGAAUCAGACCAUGUUAGUGCAAUGUAAUCCUAGACCUUCAUGGGUGCAAAUAUUGGACAGAACAUCUAUCAUGGGACAUCAAUUUUCUGAUGUAUUUGUUGGGCUCUUCAGUGUUUCAGAUUGGGUUGGACAAGCUAGUGCAGCCAAUUUUGUCUGAAAUGAAUAUGUCUUGCUUGGUUUGGUGCAAAGCCAAAGGUGACUUCAAAGCCGGUCAAACCCAGUUAAAGUUGACAAAAUCAGUUGACGUGGAGUGCAUGGGUUGGACCCAGCACUAUUUCUACCUUAAGACUUGUAUUAAGGUUAGAAAUGAGUUUUUGAUCCUAAUGUUUGAUCUAUGUACUAAAUUGGUUCUAAUCUUUUAAACCAAAAGUAAAUUUAGUUCUCAAAGUUUUUGCAUUUUGUAAUCAUUUAGGACAAUUGAUGGAAAAUCAACCAACGAUUAAUAGUCAAUAUUCAAAUUAUCGUUAUUCAAGAAACUUUACCUUUACAUUUUGGUCCCAAUGAUUAUUUUUAAAUUUGCAUUAUUAUGGUUCCUUAGGUUUUAAAUAAUUAUAAUUAGCGUUUGAAGAUGAAACGAGAUGUAAAUUGAUUAAAUACACAAUAGAUGUGUUGCUAACUCUCUAUAGAAUGUCAUAAAACACAUCAUGUAGGCAAAACAAUGAUGUUUAACCUAAAAUGCAUCUCUUUAUUAAAUAAGUUAAAAUUGGAUAAUAAUACACAUUUGAUAUAUACAACAAAAAGAACAUAGUUUAAUAUAUAUAUCACUUUAUUAGUUACUACUAUACAAAUUCUUGCAUGAUUAAUAGACAUAGGCUGCAAAUGGUUGUAGUUAGGAAUUGUGAUUUGUGACUCUAAAAACUAUUGAAGGUAAUUACUUAGGAAUUUUUGAGAAAAAAAAACCUUCUUUAAUUUUAAUGUUUUUCGACCUGUUAAAUCCAACGUUCCAAUAGUAAUGUUUAUAAGUAUUUAUUUUCCUAUUUUUUUACCAUAAUAAUUUGAUUGAAUGACAAAUAAUUCUAUAAAAUAUCAAUUUUAUCUCAAACUCAAUUGAUAACCUAAUGAAAUUGAAUAUAAAAUAGACGAACAAUCUAAUUUAUAUAUAGUACAUAUUCUUUCAAUUUUAAAGGAUACUUAAUUGAGUGCUUAAUUAUCAAUACAAGUGAAAGAUAAUACAAUUCAUGAUCAAUUAAUUCUUCAUACUGUAAAACAAUACAUACAUAUAUUAUGCUAAAUCUGAGACCAGCUAUACAAGAAGUCUAUGAGAAAUUAGUGGAUGAAUAAUGAAAUAUAAAGUAAAAAAGAAAAGAAAAGAAAAGAAAGAAGUUUACUUAAAUUUUUUUUCCCAUUGACUAAUGGUGCAAAAUGACAUAGAUUGGCACGGCCAACGGCCGCUGAGACACAGGGAGAGGCGGUGGAUCCGUGGAUGUGAAAAAUCUUCAAUGCUCUCUAUGCACUGCUUGACCUUAUUGUCGUGUGAUGUACUAUGACCCAUAACAUAUCACCAAGUAGAAAAUGAUGAGUCAUAGAUUAUUUUUAAUUUUUUUCACAAAGGGCGAAUCCUAAUUUAUGCCAGACUAAUUCCCUGUGAUGAUGCAGAGCCCGCUCCAAAAAUACGUCACACCAUAGCCAGCAGGAGUCGACCUCCUAAUUUUAAGGGUAAACACCUAAGGAAGGCACCAUUCGAACUGUCCGCCAGGAGCGAUAUGUUGUUUUCUAAUUAGUAAACAAAACUAUGUCCAAUCAUCAUAGCCAAUAGUUGAUUUUAGUACGUUACGCGGCAUGCCACGUAGUACAUAUAGAAUGUGUAAUACUUUCUCUUCUCAAGUUUAUUGUCAAAAUAAUCCUUCUUUUGAAACAUAUGCCUAAAGUAACCUAAUUUUAAAUUUUAUUACCAUUAUAAUUCUUUUUUGGCCACAUAGAUUGCAUAUGUGGCAGGAUAGAGAUAGAGGACAUUCCAUUUCUCGUUCCCAACUAAUAUCUUCCAUGAUUCUCUCUUUGAAUCUUCCCAAUUUUUUUCCCUUUCAUUAUUUUUUUUAUUUCAUUAUUUUUCCUUGUCAAAUGUAAUUGUGAGAAACCAAUAUAUAUAUUGACAACAUCUAAAAUUUCAUUAUCAUUCCUGAUAUUGUAUCUGUAGAUGAAAAUAUUCUCCUCAAAUUAAUAAUCUCAAGAUAAAUGAAAAUUAUUCUCUUAUCUUUUCUGUUGUGGCAGUUUUUGGAACAUUCCUAUGGCCUUCAAAAAAAGGGCCAGUUGAUAAAGAGGAAAACGGGCCAGUUGAUCUCUUGGCAGAUUUUCUGAGCGAAUGUGAUUAUCCAACGGUUUGUGGCAGUUUGGCUCAUGCUCGGAGGGGCAGUGCUCUUGUCCGUCAGGCGUUGAAAGAAGUGACAACGAAAACAGCGGUCGGCUUGUGUGGAGAAAAAUCCCACAAAAUGUGAUGGUCCCCGUUCUCAUGGACUACUACAUCUUACAGAUGUAUAUUACUUUAUGUUGAUUCCGAUGCUGCAGUCUUGAAAGCGACAGAUAUUGAGAGCUGCAGAUGGUUAUGCUUGAGAGACUGAUCAUGCAAAGCAGUUUCUCUUUCGGCAUUUUUCAGUAACUUUUCAAGGGAAACUGCUUCUUACCCUCCCCUGUUCUUUCACUAAUAAGUGAUGGAAAGCAAAGAAAUGAUUUUGAAUCAUCAGCAUUCAUCAAAAUUUCCAAUGACAUGUCAAAUACAUCGCGGAUCUUCUGCAUCGUCCAAACGAAAAGGAAUUAUAGCUGGAUUGACUGCAGGAAUUUUCUGUUUGUCAGUAGUAAUCCUUGGCAUCUGCAUUGUGCGUAGGAAGAAGCAAAGUACUGAGGAAGACGUUGACACUUACUGGGAACAGCUAUCGGGAAUGCCCGUGAGAUUUUCUUUUCAGGAGCUACAGGAUGCAACUGGAAAUUUCUCAAAAUUGCUGGGAGAAGGAGGAUUUGGCUCAGUUUUUGAAGGAGUUUUGAAAAAUGAAGAGAAAAUUGCCGUGAAGCAAGUCAACAGUUUAGGGCAAGGGAAGAAGGAGUUCCUGGCUGAAGUCCAGACAAUUGGAAGCAUUCAUCAUAUCAAUCUUGUGAGACUGAUUGGAUUUUGUGUUGAAAACCAUCAUAGACUUUUAGUCUAUGAAUUUAUGAACAGUGGAUCACUUGACAAAUGGAGUUUUAGCAAGGAUUCUGUUCAACUUACUCUUGACUGGCUGACAAGAAGGAAUAUCAUCCGUGAUAUAGCAAAAGGUCUGGCUUACCUUCAUGAAGAAUGCAGACAAAAAUAGUCCAUCUAGAUAUCAAACCUCAGAACAUCCUGUUAGAUGAAAAUUUAUGCACAAAGGUUUCUGAUUUUGGCUUGUCCAAGUCCUUUGAUAAGGAUCAGAAUCAAAUUGUGACUACAUUGAGGGGAACUCCUGGUUAUCUGGCACCAGAAUGGUUAAGCUCAUUUAUCACAGAAAAGGCAGAUGUCUAUAGUUUUGGAAUUGUUGUAAUGGAGACCAUAUGUUUAAGGAAGAAUUUUGCUAUGUCAGAAUCUGAGGAUCGUGUACAUUUGCUUGACCUGUUUAGGAGAAAGGACGAGGAAGAUAGGCUGAUUGAUAUAAUCGAAAGUAAUGAUGAAGAUACUCGACUAAAUAUUUCAGACAUGAUUAGAACGCUGAAGCUUGCACUGUGGUGUUUACGAAGUGAUUUUACCCGGAGGCCAUCUAUGUCUGCUGUAGUUAAGGUCAUAGAGGGUACACUGCACCCUGAAAGUAACUUGGAACAUCAAACCUUGGACUUUAAUCCACUUGCAGCCAUCAGAAGAAAGUUUGAAUUUGAAACAACAGUAUCAGUUUCACCAUCAGUACUAUCAGGACUAAGGUGAACCAAAAAUGUUGCUUCACUCGGUUGCCUUUCUUUUCAUGUUAGUUCAUAAACGUCUAUUUCUUUGUUCUCCUUACCAUGUCAUUGAUGGUUUAUAUUGUGUUAAUUGAGGUAAAGUACAACUUGUCAGAGUAAUGUAAUCACGUACGCAACAAUAUUACAUAUACCUGCAUCAUUUCUUGGCAUGAAUUUAUAUGCAUCAUUCACAAUGGAUGGUAUGUACAGUUCUAUAACUGUGUAACAGGAAAAAAAUAAUGUCUUUCUGGAUUAUGCUUACCACCUACAAAGGAACAUGGAAAGGUUUCCAUUUGUUUCCAUCUUCUUAUGCUUAAUCUUCCUAACGCUCAAAAUUCUUGCCAGUAUUCAUUCUGUCCGUUCGUUCUCAUAUUUCUUUUAGAAUUGUCAUUUGCUUUCAACAUGACCCCAUUAAUAAUACGUAGUUAUUAGUAGGUUUUUCCACAUCUUGUGACCAGCUACGUACAUUAGGGGAUGCUAUAAGAAUACAUUAGUUUUUUGUAUUAGCUCCUUGACAUCAUUAGAUAAGGUGAGUAUAGGACUCCUGUUUAAGCAGUCAGAUUCUGCUAUCAGAAAGUAAAAUCUGAAAACUCCAGUCCUUCUUCAUAGUAAUGAUGGUUGACUUCAGAAACUAAUUUAUACUCGAAAUCUGCAAUAAUCUGUCACAAAACAAUCUCACCGGAAGAAUGCUCGCCAACUUUCUAGGCCUUCCUCGUUUGAAGAGGUGGUGACUAGCGAGUCUUCCUGUAUUUUCAGAUCAUCAAUCUCCUGCUAAUAAUCUCUCCCUAUCUGUAAGGUUUUGCUUCAUUUAUGUUCAUUUUUUAAUAAAUAGAUUCUGAACUACAAUUACAUAGAUAAUACGUUUAACUUCUUUUCACUCCUACAAAUGUAUCACUUGCAAAAAUUUCAUUGAAUGGCUAUGUUCCAUUCAAUAAUUUCGAAAACAGGAACAGACAGAAAGACUUCAAAUAGUGCUUUUCAGAUUCUUAAAUAUUUUCGAUUCAGCUUUCUCAUGGUUCAACCAAAAGCGUCUUCAAUUUAGGUAAACCCCAAACCAAAAAUCCAACAUUAGCAAACUUUUUCUGAGUUUCAGUCGUUUAUUGUUGCAAGUACCUUAGGCAGUCUUAUAUUCUGUCUCAAUUUCACUGAUAGGUUUGUCAGUGAGAAGAUUUUUUCUUGCAACUGAAAACUUUUCAUGAAUACAGCUCUAGGUAGAAAUUAUCGAACUGAUGUUUAUACAAGAAAGAAUAAUAGCACCAUCUUCCUGAAGUAUCAAAAAUUUUGUUUGCUCACCAAGGAUUCUCUGCAAUCAUGAAAGAAAAGGAUUUUUUACUUUAUUUAAUUUCUGCCGGGGGACCGGGGGGGAGGGGAAGUGGAGAAGAGUUAAUUAGCACUACCAGAAUUUCAAAAGGGGGUAGAUGGCCUUCCUUCAGAAAGAAGUAUUCCAUGCAAUUAAUGACUGAACAUGACACAGAAACAAGAAUAAGAACUAUAGAUUAGAAGAGACAAGAUGCAACUUAUUAUUUAUGGAGAUGUAUAUCCUUCCUCUGAGUCUAUGCUAAUUGUCUGAUAUCAAAUUCAUCAGAAACGUUAUCGCAAGUUCUUCACAAUAAGAACCACAGAUAGAAAAUUCAGAUGCCAACAGUAAAAUUGAACAUGAAACAAAUGUCAUAUGCACAUAGAUUGUUGAAGUAAAUAGUAAGAAAAAGAUGCACAACCACUCCAGGGUGAGAUAAUUAGAGUUCUUGUAGCUAAUCAUGACAUUACCAAGUCCAAUACAAAUGAGAUGAAGAAGAAGAGCAGGGAGGAAACAGAAUAGGCAGUCUUAAAUAAAAUGCAAAGAUUUAAAUGACCCUCAUGAUUGUCUUGCCAAACCAGUUUUGGGGAGACGUUCCUCUAUCAUUUUCUUCCUGAAGUCAAGAUCUUCAAAAGUUUCUGAAGUUGCAGUACCUUUCUUUUCUUGGUUUGAACCUGGGCGUUGAGGUCCUGAACAAGGGUAUUGCAGGCGUUGAGGUCCAGCAGCUUCAGAAUGGCUUCUGGAUGAGACUCUUCUAGCUCUUCAUGUCCUCCAUUUUCAUGCUCUGAAUCAUCCUCUAUCAUUUUCUUCCUGAAGUCACGAUUUUCAAAAGUUUCUGAAGUUGCAGUAGCUUUCUUUUCUUGGUUUGAACCUCCUGUGUUAUCAGGGGAGCAGAAAUUUUUUCCUUCUUUUUGGAUUACCAUCACUUCUUCUUGCACUUGUUCGUCCUUGUUAGUAUGUCUAGAACAAUUCCCUUCCGCGACAAGCUCCAAUGAGAUUUCCUCGCUCGUAGAGUUGUCCAACUCUUGAUUCUUAUUGGCUUCAUAUUUACUCAUUUUUCUUUUCUCUAUUAGCUUCUGGAUCUCUUUUAUUUUGUUGAAGUGAUUCCCCAGUUUUUCACUAAGUUUCUCAACUUUAACUUUCAAACCAUGGUGCUCAAUCAUUAGAGUUUCUAGCUGGUCCUCCAAUCUACCCUUCAACAAAUUAUCUGUAGAUCCACAUGAAGACUGGAUCACGGAAUCAUGCUCACACUGUCGGUUCCUUCGCUUUAUAUGCUUGAGCCAAUGCCUCUUUCCUGCUUGAAACCAUGGGUUUUCAUAUUCAUAUUUCUCCGUACAGAUCUUUCUGAACCCCUAUAACAUUUUAAAAAGAAAAUGUUGAACUUUUCAAAUAAACAAAUGUAAAAUCGUUAAGUCAAUUAUAUUAUGAAUUCCAAAUAGAGUUUCACUAUCAAAAUUGCUAUUAGGUAAUAAGCAAGACAAUGCUGUACUUUGACAUAUUAAGACUACCGCAUUGAGCAUUAAACUUGGUAAAGAGAUUAAAUUUAUGUUACUUGUCCAAUUAAUGGUGAGGUGUUUAAACAACAUAAAGAUGAAUUAACAUGAUGUACUCACGUAAUUGUUGAGCUGAGAAACAAAACUUGCGAGAUUGCUAUGCUUAAAGUUCUUGGGAAGGAGCUCUACACUGAACUUGAUAUGGUCCCAAAUUGUGAAACUUCUAUUGUUUGGACUCCAAGAUAUGAUGGAGUUAGUUUCUGGAUCUUCAACCAUGUCGAAUGUCUUCCUCAGAAAAUGAGGUAGAAUUGACCCUGUUCUUGGUCUCCUCGGUAAUUGACCGAUAUCCCUAGUGUUACCACCAUAGCCACUAGCUCCUCCUCCAUCGCCAUUAUCACCGCCAUUAUCACCGCCAGUAUCAUCAAUUGCCUUUCUUUUUUUGCCUUCCAUUUGUAGUUCAAAUGCAACACCGUCUUUAGCCUAAGUGAACCUUCUUGACUUCAAGAGCCUUUAAAAAGAUUAAAAUGCACAAUGACCAUGCAUGCAAUGGAGUGACCAGAUGAGAGAAAUGCUGAAUUUGUAAUCUUGACAAAGUAAUAAUUACUUGAUUUUGCCUAUAUUUGAAGACAAGAUUGUUCAAGUUUUUUCAAGUUAUUGGAUUAGUAUUCAGAUGAUGCCACCUACAUAAAGAGUAACGCUGGUUAUUUUGGUUUGCUCAUUUAGUUGUUGCCUUAACGAGAUUUUGAUCAAUCACCACAAAUUUAAUCAUCCAUUGAGAUUCUUUUCUAGUUGUCCGUGCCAAGGAGACAACGCACAUGCAAUUUGCCUGUAUUCUUCAUGUACAACUAUUACUUUUACAUUUUUUGAUUGUAGAUCCUAACCUUCCAUCUCAAUGAAUAAUAAAUGAAGUUGAGUUUACAUUUUAAAAUACUUGAAGGCUAUCAGAUCAAGGUACAAUAGUUGUCCUUUCUUUGGUUAUUAUUUCAUUUUGAGCAAUUUGAUUGUCGUAUGGGGCAUUUUAAGUUACAAAGCGACAUGUUACAAGAUGGUUGGCUUUGAGAAGCUAGUCAAGUGCAAAAAUUAUGUGGAUGCUUUUUGUUUUGGAUCGAUUGAAAUAACAAAAAAGCAAAAUCUUAAGGACAUUUGAUCAAUUGAAAUAACAAUAAAGUAAAAUCUUAAGGGUAUAUAGCGUUUCCUCUGCUCAUUUAUAGAAUUAAUUUCAUUUUAGCCUUUGAAGCAUACUUAAAAGUUCAAUCUUGCCACUAAAAGUGAUGAACUUUCAAAAUUGUCCUGCACACAAGAAAUCAUCUUCCACUUUGACCUUCUGUCCAAAUUUUGUUUACUAUUUUAUAUCUAGUAGUAACUAAUAAGUGUACUCACAUCGCAAAAAUAAUAAAAAAAGAAAAGGUGUCCUCAAAGGAGUUCACAAAAGCCCUUGGAUGGGGGAGGAAUUAGUUGGAUGAUUUGGAGGAGCGAGUGUAAAUGAUAGGUUUUGGAAUCGAACCCUCCCACUUACACUAUAAAAUAAUGUAAGAAAAACAAAAAAAUUUUUAAAAAAAAACCCUUAAAUAAUGUAAAGAUAAAAUAUUUGGACAUACAUAUCAUUAACAUAAUGAUUCUCAUUCACAAAUGUAAUAUAAUAAAGUCAUGUAAGUUGAAAAUUUCCAUCCCAUAGUGAAUUGAAAAAAAAGAGUUGGUGAAAUUAUUUAAAGGGACUUGGAACUUUUAUAUCUUUUGGGGCUCCAAGAAUUCAAGUCCUUAAAUGCUUUCUCAUUAAAAAAAUGAUAUCUUUAAAACUUUACAUAAAUAAAAAGAGAAAUUAUAAAACACAUAAAUAAAAUAGAUUCCAGUACUCGCUAUAUUUUGGGCCAAGCCCAGAGUUUUGAACUUUGUAUCAGGCCUUCUCCCUCAUCUCAGGGUUAAAUUAAAGGAAAUGUAAGAUUUCACUUGAGCUUCUAGCCCACCUAACCAUCGCAUCGGGAAGAAAGAACUUGUUUGAGAACAUGCCCUUGAGGCGUUACUUCCAUUAGCAUUAUUUUCACUAGUGUUAAGUACACAUUCAAUGUGUGUGCAAUCAAGAAAUAAUUAAAAUGAAUUAAUUUUGUAUAAAUUUUAUUUUUUACUUAUAAAAUAUUUAUAUAAAGUUUUCAAGAAAGAACUUUGGUUUAUAUGAUUGUAGUAAUUUGGUAGAUACAAUACUUAAGGUGGUUAUAUUGGUAAAAUGUGAUUAGGGUAAAAUUAAUUUUUAUAAUUUAAAAUUUGAAAAUUCAAAAGAUAACAAAAAUGUCUAUACCAAUUGCUAUUAUUCAGGCAUUAUAUAUUGUAUAGAUGUUACUUCCAUAAACAUUAUUCACACUAGUGCUAAAGGCACACACGAUAUCUAUGCAAUUUAGAAUUACUUAAAUGUUUUUUGCAAAUUGAUUUUACACAAAAAAUCUCAUUUUAAAGAAAUUUUUAGUGUUUUAACCCUGUUUUUUUCCUAUCAAAUGAUUGUUAUGUUAGUUGUUACAAUACUUUUAGUUAAGUUGUCAACAUGUGUUUAGAAAAUUAAGGUUAAAAAUAGGUAAUGCUGUUAAUCGAGCGGAAUAUUUGGCUGUCGAACUCGACUCGAGCUCGCUCGAUUAGGUGGACGAGCUUUGAAAUGUGUUCGGACUCGACUUGCCAAAUGAGAUAUGUGGCUCGAGCUCGAGCUUGAGCUCGUGCAAAUUGACCCCAAUAAAAAUCUAUAAUUUUCAAUUUUUAUAUUUUUGAAUUGUGAAAUGACGUAUGUACCCUUCCUUAUCAAGCCUAAUCGAGCUACUCGGAUAACAAACGAAUCGAGAUUACUCGGCUUGUUAAUUAAACGAGCAUAUCUCGAGCUCGAACUCGACUCGUUUACCACAAUUAACGAGCCGAGCUCGAGCCUUUCGAGCCUUAUCGAGUUGAGCUCAAUUGAGCUUUUGAGUUGCUCGUUCCAUUUAUAUAGUUCUAAAAAUAGGUAUACAUGGUUAUUUUGAAAAUAUAUGUUUAGAUAGCAAAAUGGCAAGUAAUCUAUACAAGGGUAAAGUUGAGAGUUUAUACAUUAACAAUGAUUGUUUACCCUAAAAUCCCUCUCCUCUUAUAUGUAAUAUAUAGAUACUGUCUCUUUUAUAAAUAAAUAAGAACGAAACCUAUUUACCUAGUGUACUCUCGGUAGCGGCGGCUGCGGGUAACAAAUGGUAGCUUUCUAUUUGUACAGUUGGUUGAAUGCUUCAGUUGAUCUUAGGACUGGAAUCUUGGAUUGCCUGAUUAACCCACAAUUUCCUCUAAUUCUGAGAUUUGCUCAAAUGAAAGUUAUUUUCGUCCAGAAGGUUUUCAAGGAGGUGGCUAUGUUAAUAGUUUCGGUGAGUAUUGGAGAGCAGUUCAACAAAGUGUAAGGAUCCCAAUUCCCAUUGACUUGAAGAGCUAAAACGCGUGUAUCACUUUGAGUAUGUUGGUCUUGAUGUUUCAGCUCAAUGUGAAACUGAGGUGGAGAGCUGCAAAGAAGCAUGCUUGAAAAACCGCUCUCGUGAAGUAGCUCUAGUUCGGUUUUCUAGUGAUUAUCAACAGGUUAUUGAGUCUUUCCAGCUCCAGUUGUGAGUUGUGACACUCAUGUACAUUGAAAGUGGAAGAUAUAAUUUCAUUUGCAUUUAUUAAAGUAUCCAAUGGCAAGUUAAAUGCAACAAUAUCUACUACAUCAACAACAAAAUUUGCUGCACCUGCAAAACCUAUCAGGAGCAUAGUGGGAUCUUCUGCAGGUGUUUUGCUGUAUUAGCAGCAGCAGUUGGUUUGUUGAUUUUAGUUAGAAAGAGAAGAACCCUGAUGAAGGAAGAUUUUGAUGAAAACUUGGAUCAACUUGAUUACCUAUGAGAUUUUCCCAUGAUGAGUUGUAGGUUAUAGCAGAUGAUUUCAGCUGGAAGAUCAGAGGUUUUGGAUCCGUAUAUUGAGGGAUCUCUCAGCAAUGGAAGAAAAUUGUGGUGAAAUAUAUGCCCUGACAGCUUAGGUCAGGGAAAGAAGGAAUUCCUAGCAGAGGUCAAGACCAUAGGAAGCAUUCAUCAAGUCAAUCUGGUUACACUGAUCGGGUUUUGCAUUGAGAAGCAGUGCAGAUAUCUAGUUUACAAGUUAAAGAGCAAUGGAUCUUUAGAUAAAUGGAUCUAUACGAAAAGCCCUGACCAACCCUGUUGGCAAAUGAGAAGAAAGAUCAUACAUGUAUAGCUAAAGGCUUCUUCAUGAAGAAUGCGGAUAGACCAAUGUCGGCUUAGAUAUAUAACCUCAAAAUAUUCUGCUAGAUGCAAACUUUUUUGUGAAGGUUUCUGAUUUUGUCUUGUCUAAGCUGAUUAAUAGAGAUGAGAUCCAAAUUUGACUGCAAAGAGGCACACCUGGAUACAUGGCUCCUGAAAGGUUGAGCUCAUGUAUAACAGAAAAGGCUGAUGUGUACAGGUUUGGAAUUGUGGUGAUGGAAAUUGUCUGUGGAAGGAAAAAUUUGGAUAGGACUGAAUCCAACAAAUUUGUACAUUUGCUCAAUGAUUUCAUGAAAACAAUCUGAGGGGGAUCGAUUGGUUGACAUGAUUUACAGUUACUGCGAUGGUACAAGGAAAAUGUCCCAGAUAUCCUCCACAUGAUGAGGCUUGCAGUAUGGUGCUUACAAAGUGAUUUUACCUUGAGGAGGGCGUCUACGUCGACAGUGAUUAAACUGAUAAAAGGGUAAUGAGGUAUUGAAGCUAGACUGAAAUUAGUGUCCUUCAUUUCACAUAUCUCACAGCAAUCAAACGAGAGCAUGAGUUAAUCACCACAGCACCGGUAUUCCCAUAAACUCUUUCAGGAUGAGGACCAAGGUAGAGUUUACAACAGGAUUUACUGUAACUUUUGCUCUUCUUUAGUAACUUGAAUUCUAUGUGUUGGUGUGUGAUUACUAAUUUCUUGUUAUUCUUAGUCUUUAUUGAUUAAUGUGACAAUGUUUAGUCCUCCUCUGUUUCUUGAAUAACCUACUAUUACUGGAAUUCGUGCAGAAUUUGCAGAGCUUCUUCUAGUUAAGUUACUAAACAAAGUCCUGUUCUCAUGAACCUAAGUGAUAUUAUAAGACCAAAUGCUCUCCAGCAACAUUUUCUAAAUGGGGAAAGUUGGCCUUCAAGAAACCUACUUUGUGGGAUUCUCAUUCAGCUCUUUCUAGAAGCUUUAUCGACUCCAGACAUAGACAAUGAAGAUGAAUAUAAAAAUUACUGUCAGUUUAUCAUAAUACCUUGCUUGUUUCAUCACGUUUCUUAAUCAAAUAUAGCUCAAGAUUAACUGCUCAUAGUAAACCAAAUAGCAUUUUCGUUCUAGAUUUCUGGCGGAUCAGUAGUUUACUUGUUGGAUGAAAGUCUAUAGCACGGCAGAGGCAGUAUUUUACACACAUCCUGGAUUAAAACAUAACCUUCACUUCUUUUUCCAAAAUUUACAGGUAUCUCUACCUUUUGCCUUUCUUUCCAUUUUAAAAUCAGAAGUUGCGCCAUUUGGAUACUCUCUGGGAUCUACAGAGGGGGGUUUGUGUGUAUUUUGCUUGAAUUUUCAAGGAUUUAGGGAAUAAGACCACACUAAUAACUAGAAUGCGGAUUGCUGCUUACUAAAAUCUCCUUAUCUCUUGGUCUAGUUGGAUCAUAAGAAAAUAAAAAAGAAUUAAAACAUGAUGUUUGUGAAGGAGAAAUAAUAAUAUAAUAAAAAGUGGGACAGAGAGUGGCACAAGAUGUGGGACAGAAGAUCCGGUGCGAUGAAAACUGGUAACAUCGUCGGUGAUGUACAGAGCGGGUGAAAAGACUUGAGUUGUAGCUUUACCCCAUGGACUACAAGCUCAAUAGCCAAGUUAAAAUUGGGCUAGGCUCAUUUGACGACAAGAUGAUUUCUUUUUUCCCCUUCUUCAAUUAAGACUAGGGAUGACAAUGGGGCGGGUGCCCGCGCGGCGGCUCUCGGGGCGGGCGGGGGGCGGGGGAGUAUACCCCCGCCUCAUCCCCCGCCCCGCCACCCGCAAAAUAUAUAUAUAUAUAUAAAUAUAUAUAAUUAUAUAUAAUAUGUAAGUUAAUUAGUUAUAAACUUAUGAUAAUGAUAUUAUUAGUUAGAUGUAUUAUAUAAUGUAUAUUAGUUUAUGUAAUAUAAUUGAUAUUAUCAAUUAUAUGAAUAAUUAUACAUGUCUACUAAUAGAAUUUAUUAAUUAGUUAUACUAAAUUUACUAAUACAUUUAUACUAAAUUUCUAAUUACACUUAAUAGAAUAACACUUUUUUCUAAAAAAAAGCACAAACACAAUAAUGAAUUAGUGAUUGCAUUUGUACUAAAAGUGAAAACUUGACUAUUUUAGUUAUAUUUAUUUCAUCAUAUUGGAUUGUAUUCAAAUAACUUCUGUUUGAUUGUUUUUAUGAGUUUCAAUUAUAAAAUUACAAUGAAUAAUAAUUUGGUGAUGUGUUGAUAUUUUAGUACUUGAUUAUUUAUUAAAAUUUAAUUAUAAUAAAAUUAUAUAAUAAAAUUUUAUUAACCCCGCGGGGGAAGCGGGGCAAGGCGGGGCGGGGAGGGGGACGGGGCGGGGACGGGGGAACUAAUAGGCCAACCCCGCCCCCCCAACCGCGUUGCCAUCCCUAAGACAGAAUAUGCAAGAAAUUAUCAACAAGAAGUCCGCAAGACCAGAUUUAACUGAUAGGGACGUUAACUGAGUUUAUUGUAACUCUUCUUCUAAAACAUAUAUCCAAAGUAAUCUAAUUUUAAAAAUUAUUAUCUUUAUGAUUCUUUUUUUGCCACGUAGGUUGCAUAUAUGGCAGAAUAGAAAUAGAGGCACACUCUAUUUUUCUUUUUAUCUAAUAUCUUUCUUGAUUCUCUCUCUGAACUAUUUCCUUUAGUUAUUUUUUUCUUGUCAAAAGUAAUUCUAAAAGGCCAAUAUUUAUAUUAAUAGAAUCUAAAACUUCACUAUCAUUCCUGAUAUUGUAUUUGUGGAUGAAAAUAUUCUUCCCGAAUUGAUAAUCUUAAGGUAAAUGAAGAUUAUUCCCUUAUCUUUUCUAUUGUAUAGUUUUUGAAAUAUUCCUAUAGCUUUCAAAAAAAUUUUGAAUACUAAUUAUUUAAGAAAUGAUUUCUCAUACCGUGUGUUUGAUAAAAUGUCCAAGAGGAAAACUACAUAACAACAUAGAUUCAUGCUCAAUAUGUUUAAUUUCUACCACAUAUACGAGCAUGUUCAUUUGUAGUGCUUCUAUAUCACAUGACCAAAUAAUCUCAUAUACUUAAUAUAUUUUUGCACAUUUAUUCAACAUCAAUUGAUGGUUUGUGUUACUUUUGAGCAACUUGAACAUUAUCUUAAUUGCAUUAGUAGAUUUCUUUUGCAUUGCAUGAAAUUUACUAGUCUCAAUUUCGAUUUAAUCUACUGGUAGUUCUUGUAUCUAGUGUUAUUAUAAAUAACAUGUAAAUGAUGACCUUGCUAAUUAUUGACAAAUACUGGUAGUUCUUGUCUUAGAUAGCAUAACAAUAUUUGCUUAAUUAAUGAUUUUUUUAAUUUUGUGUAGGUGGUGCUGCUGAAUUUUGUAGCAAUGGCUGGUAGAAAUGUUACUAUAUAUUUUUUUUAUUGUAAUGGUAGGAUGACAACUGGCAUCAUGGUCUUAGUUACGAGGGUGUUACUCCAAAAGCCAUUCGAGUAAGUUAUCAGAUGAAAUACCAUGAACUCAUGGACAAGAUAUAUGUUAUCACUAGCUAUGAAAAAUGUCAAGUUGCAAUAAAAAAACUUCUACCUUGUGAUAGCUCUUUGUUUUCCUCAUUCCCUAUAUAUGAUUUGCAGUGAUCAAAUAGAACUUACCCAUUUUGGAGAUAGGAUCAAUGAAGUGCUCGAAUUUAGCAUUAUUAAAUUGCCUGAACAUAGGAUUAGUGGAUUGCCUAAUGACAUUCUUGUAUUCAUUUCCUAUUUGCUAACACUUAAGGAAGUUUCAAGAGUUUGGGUUCAAAUAUUUCAAAUUUGCUUCCAAUUGGCAAUGAUUAUGAGACAUUUAUUGAUUGCAAAUUUAUUGUAAUUAUACCAUGAUAGUUUUUUCAGUUCAGAAUAUCUUGUUUUUUAGUUCUUUGCAUAAGAUAUAGAUGUUGAGAACUUUAUUGCAUUUUUAAAAUUUAAUUAAAAAAAUCUUAUUUUUGUCAUUUUUUCCCUUACAACAUGACUUUUUCCAGUAGUAGGAUGCCAUUUACCUUUUUAUACUACUUGAUUGCUUAUAUAGUAAUUUGGUAGACUUGAAAAUUUCAGUAUGAUUACUUUUUGUAAAAGUUCUUUUCAAGGAGUAGGAAGCAUAACAUAAACAAAUCUGAUAACUUUGAAAUUUUUGUAACUUUUCCUUGUUAUUACUUACAAUUUUCGUUGCAAUUUUUGUAUUUUUCAAAUUUAUUUUUGAAAAAAUAUAUGAAAUCGAUUUGAUACAUUUUUAAAAAAGUGCAGAGACCAAUAAUAGCAAAGUCAAUAAUGGUAGAAUUUAUUUUAAAUAAUUAUAAGGAAAUUAUCAAAGUUACGCAAUCUUCUGUGCUUUUAUAAUAAAAAAUUCAAAUUUUUAGUUCAUGUUGGAAACUAUAGACGAGAUUAAAGCUUUCCUUUCUUGUUAUCCUACAUGGCAAUCAGGGUAAUUAGGUGGAAAAAAUAACAUCAUUAUGGGAAUAAAAUUUGAAAGUGAAUCACAUUGGGAAUAUUUUUUAGAUAGAGUGCUAUUUUGGCAAAAAACUCUUCUCUUCUCAUCGUGGUGAUAGAUGCUCAACGCAGCCAAAAUUGCCGGCCUUACUUUCCCUUCUUAGUACUUCAUGUGGGUUGACUUCCUUUGCAAGGUAUACUUGGGUGGAUUGAUAACAGAGGAAUAGACAUGUUUUGGUCCAGAAUAGGAGUGUAAACGAAUUGAGUCGAGUUGAACUUUGGCCUAAUCAAAUCGAGUCUCUAGUUAAUUUUAUGAAUCUCGAACUUGAACUUGAAUUCGACGAGUUCAAAAUAUCAAACUCGAUCUCGAGCUCGACUCAAAUUCGAGUCCAGCUUAAAAAAUAAAAAAUAAAAAUAAUUAUUUUAUUUUUAAAUUGAAUAAAAUAAUAAUUUUUUAACAAACAAUAAAAUAUUAGGGAUAUAUAUAUAUAUGUAAUUUUACUAUUAAAAGAAAAAUUUUUUAAAAAAAUAUAUAAUCGAGCUCGCGAACCAAUGAGUUUAAUGUUUUUGAGUUAGAGCUCGACUCGAACUCGAUGUUGACCGAGCUUGAGCUGCUCGAGUGGUGAAUAGCCCUACUCUAGAAUGAUUGUGCCACUCACUCUAGCACAAAUGGUAGAAAGUACACAUUUAAUUCUAAAAGAUUUUCUCAGGAAAUAGUUUCUGUCAAGAUUCUAAGAAACUAUUCUCAUAACACACACACACACAUAUUAGGCACUGAUCCUCGCAUUAUUCUCAUAAGUUUCCAGGAAUUCCAAUGACAUGAGAAAUAGUACAGUAUAUAAACAUAGGAGGCGGACACGAGAUCAGGGGAAUGAAUGAAAUUAAGAAAGUUGUUCACAGGGCUGAUCUGACAAAAGUGGAGCCAUCAAUAAUACUAUGAUGGUUGUUGCUCAACAACUUCUCCAGCUCUCUCACAAAUCUGUCCAUUGCAAAGCCCGGCAGGCAAAUAGGAACCACUAUUCCUUUCUCCCCGUUCUUGUUCGUGACAGUUAUGUAAAAGCUCAACAAGCCGGGGAUGGCACCAACCCCGCCCUUGGCCGGGCCUCCGAACUCUGGCCUUCCCCAACCGUAGUCCACCUCAUUGAACCCAAUCCGAGUAACAUCCGACACGACAUAAGUCCUCACCACGGUGAAAUGAGGCCUCCCUUUGAUAACCAUUAAAUCAGCCACCGAUUUCAUGUAAUCUUCAGUCACAUCACCUUUGGCCUUGGUCACCAGCUCCAACGCAUAUCCGAGAGGCCUCUUGCACAGCUCUCCGGCAGUCGUCAGGGCCACCGGAAAUGCAAAGCCAUUGCCAUAGUAUCCUUGUGGCAAGGGAGGAUCGAACUUGGAGCGAGCAUUGACGACGCAGAUCAUGCGGACUUCCUCAUUGGGUUCGGGCUGGAGGGCGAUGGUCCGGCAACGCCAGAGACAGGCCGUCAAAACCUCAAAUGUCGAACACUUGCGACUGAUGUCGAGCGGGAUGGAUUUUCUCAGAGCUGACACCUCCGCCGGGCCGAAGAAGAAAGAGCGGUGGACCAUGUCGUCCAGGGGAAUUAUGGUUCCUUUGGUAUCGGGUACCUCAUCGUAUUCGUGAUGGAUGCACGUCACCCUUGGCGGGUCUCUAGCAUUCAGGAGCUCUCUCUGCCAUACUGGCAGUACAGAUGGGGCGGAAGCUCCCGUACGAUUUCGCCGACUGCAUUCAUGAACUGAACGAUUCCGGCACCGUCGGACAUGGUGUGAUUCAUGCGCAGUGCGAAGAUGAAACCCCCGCAUCUCAAACGAGUCACCUACAACAAUACAAGUACUCAAUUAUGAUCAGUAAGUAGAUAUACAGCAGUACUAGUAGUUGUUUUCAUGCAGUAACUGCGAGUGGAAUUAAUUUAUGAAAUUAGCAGCACACGUGACAAAGCGCAUGCAUAGUUUUGUCCAACAAUUACCCGAUCCUAUUUCACAGAUUAAUUGAUAAUUUCAUAGAUUAAAAACAAUUAUCGACUAAAUAGUCACGAAUUUACUGAUCAUAUUAUUUAGUAGUCAAUUAAUUGAAAAAGCGUAGAGGUAGUUUUAUCCAACAACUACGCAAUCCUAUUUCACACAUUAAUUGUUAAUUUCAUAGAUUAAGAGCAAUUAUCGAUCAAAUGAUCACGGAUUUACUGAUCAUAUUAUUUAGUAGCCAAUUAUUGAUGAAAAAUAAUUUGAUGGUCAAAACAUGAUUCGAUCAAUAAUUUAAUGGCCGUUAAGAUUUUUUACCCUUUAUUAUUUUGCAUCAUAUUAUUCCCAUUAUAUUAGCACUCAAUAAUUGCGAGUGUAAGAACAAAAAAUAUGUAGAGCCCACCACCACGGCCAAAACAGUUGAGUUGGUGGCUCUGGUGGUGGAGAAUGGAACCAAGAAAGGCUAUGUGUGGCAUUCAUCAAUGAAGCUGAGAAUUUCAGAGAGAGUAAAUGGCAUUUCAGACAUAAUAAAGUGGAAGAUGCUGCAAAUAUUUGUAUUUGGGACACAAUCCACUGACGAAAGGGCACUAAUACUACUGCCACAGCUAAUGAUCGGUCAUCCAUUCAUUACCAUAUGCUACCAUACAAGAUUAAUGGUUCUUUUUUCGAAAUGUCUUUUUACCUUCAAACAUUUAAAGAAAAUCAUUUUUUUUAAAAAAAAUACUAUUAAAACAUUGGAUGACCAGACCAGACCAAUGCAAUUGGUCAGAACAGUCAACCCAAGAAAUCGGUUAGACUUAGGGCUGCAAACGAGCCGAGCCGAGUCGAGCUUUGAGCUAAUCGAGCCGAGCCUCGAUUAAAUUUUACCAAGCUCGAGCUCGAGCUCGACGAGCUGGCAAUUUUUGAGCUCAAGCUCGACUCGAAUCAAGUCGAGCCGAGCUCGAGCUCGAGCUCGAAAAAAAUAAAAAAAAAUAUUUUAUUUUUUAAAAAAUAAAUAAAAUAAUUUUUUUUCUGAAUAAAUAAUAAAAUAUUAAGGAUAUAUACGUAAUUUCACUAUGAAAAUAAAUUAAAAUAUAUUUAUAUAUAAUAUAAGUAAUAUUAUUAUUAAAUAAAAAUAAAAAAUAUAUAUAUAUAUACUCCCGCUCGCGAGCGGGCUCGCGAGCUAACGAGCUUAAUAUUCUGAGCUCGAGUUCGAGCUCGAGUUUGACUCGAGCUGGCUCGAGCUCGACUCGAGCUCGAUUAAUCUCGAGCUCGACUCGAGCUUGACUCGAGCCGCUCGCGAGCGGCUCGAUUCGUUUGCAACCCUAGUUAGACUCUUCAAGGGAGGGAAUAUUCUAAAAUUUUUUCAUAAAAAAUCAUAAUCAAAGUCUUAGACUCUUCAUCGUUUUUUUUUUGGGAUUGUGUUUGGUGGUGGUUGGGGUGUGUGCUAAGCUUUCCUAUUCAUAAAGCAUGAGAAGGAAAUUCAACAUUAAAAUUAAAAUUUUGUGUCAUAUUUUUGUUUUUUCAAUUUUAUCCUCACAAAAAGAAAAAUUUACAAAGAUGCCUACUUUAAGUUUAGUAACUCUCUAAAUGUAAAGCAUGAGAAGAGGAUUUGACGUUAAAAUUUUUUGUCAUCUUUUGAUAUUUUUUAUUUCAAUUUUGUUGUCAUAAGAGUAAAAUUUUACUACUAAAGAUAACUGCUUAAAUUCAGUAACUUCUAAUAACUUCUAUUUUAUAUAUAUUUUUUGCCAAAAAAAAUCCAUACGAUUUAAAUAAAAACAACUUCUUAAUUUGUACACUCAAGUAUUCAACUCUAAAUUCACCCCUAAAUCCUUGGAGAAACAACCAAGACGAAAUAGACAGCUCCAGCCUCACCUCAGGGACAAAUCAAGUCAAAAGAGAGAGAGAGAGAGAGAGAGAGAGAGAGAGAUGAAAAAACAGUAAAGUUGGUUUUGGUUGUGUACCUGUAUAAGCAGUACAGGACAGUGAAGGACUCCUGCAGACUCAGGAACAUCAUAGAGGAGCUCCUCCAAGCAGGGGAAUGGAGGCUGAAGUUCAUCCCCAAACUGCUCCAGCGUCACCUCUGCAUCCGCUUCAAUGAACAUAACACCCUCCCCCGUGCAGUCCACCACCAGCUUCCUCCCGGCGCAUUCUCUGAGACGCCCCGCGAAUGGGUAGUAGAACACCAGAGCCUUGGCAAUAGCCUCCCUGAUCACCUUCACGGUGUCUCUCCUGCUAUGAAGAUGAUCAUCAUCGCUGCGGUAAAAUUGGGUGACAGGGACUUGAAAGCGAAGACCCUCUUGAUCGUCGAUGUCAGAGAGGAGCUUGCAUUCCCGAGGAGUGGACUUCGCCGGACGGACCAGCUCAGGCUUUUGUCUGGUCACCCUGAAGGUCAGAGACUUUGAUCCCAUUUUGUUGCCCACAAACAAACUGCUACGCGCGCAGUGAUUUGACCACUGCAGAGGCCCCGUCCUGGGCCUAGACACGUGGCGGCCCAGGGCAAGCCGAGCUGGGCUUGGACCCCGGCCCAUGGACCAGCCUGGGGUGCGCAGCUGCUAGGGCUCCGGAGAGCUAUUCCGCAAAGGGCGGGGAGAAUCCCCCUCAGUGCGGGAUUGAGACUAUGGAGGGCAGGUCCCGAAUCGUACGGAGGUCGGACUCUCUUACAGGUAUAAAUGGUAACGCACGCCCACUGUACAAGGUACGCUCACUAUUGGCAAAUUACUUCCGACUACUUUACUUCCCGUGAACUUCACUCAUUGGAAAACUAACUUGACCGUCGGAGUGCUCUCGGGAACCAUCUCGGGGCCCCCUUGUGAGAUCACCCGCUCGUCUGUUUUGCAGGCUUGGAGCGAGCCCUAUCCGUCAGCACGCCGAGCUCACCAGAACAGCUCGGUCCGGGAAGCUCUGCGCUUCUUCAACCACCACCAACGAAUAUAUUUGUUCAGGCUCAGGUUUAGUAAAUGAAAACACUAGUAAUGAGAAUGCUUUAAUUGUGUGUAUACAAAUAUAGAUAGUCUAACACAGGAGAAGAAAGAAAGAAGAUUUGGUAGUUUUGAGGAUACCUUCCUUCGUUCCCAGCAUGGGAUUUAUACAGUACCACUGAUUGCAACAAUAGUCAUAUCUCGUACGCAAGAGGAGUUGAAGUAAAAACACACCACGUCUAGUGCACUUAAUUGUUUCUACUUGCAUGUACAUUUUCCUCAUCUUUUCCCACUUCUUUUGUCAAUUGACUGACCUGCUAUUUUGGUCUAGCCUUCUUCUCACUUUCAGGCCUUCCCACUGUCGAACAACAAAAAGAUGCUUCUUGUAACUUGGAUCAACACGUAACCGCCAGUCAUUUAAGGUUUGGCGGGUGGAAGGUAAGGGUGCGUAGUGAAUCCACCAAUUGUCACAUUAAGUAAUUUCUUUAAAAAAUUUAGAUGGAUGCGUAGUACAUCUAUUUGGUCUGAUAGUGAUUCACUUCUCACCGAUUUUCCUAGACUUAGUUAAAUUUCCCUUUAGAUUAGAAUAGUGUAGGAUUGACGAUUGACAAAAAAAAAAAGGAACUUGGAUCAACACUUUCAAAUGAAUUUUUCUAUUCCUAAAAUGUCUGGGCAAUUUCUCUCAACACAUUAUAGUACCAGUAGCAUACUUUAAUUUUCCCUUGAGUUUCUCGGUACUCCUAUGUGAUGUGGACUUCCUCCUCCUGCAAAUAGAGAACAAAUUCCGUUUCAGCUUUUAUCAUUCAUUACGCAAUAUAUAUUAGAAUUAAAAUUUUUUUUGAAAGAACUAGAAUCUGAUUAUGUUAGUGCAAAAUAAUCCUAGACCUUCAUGGGUGCAAAUAUAGGACAGAACAUCUAUGCAAGUAAAAAAUUAAUUUUACUCUUUGAUUUAAAAUUUACUAACCAAAAAAUAUUAAUCUAUUUUUACUUCCAACAUAUGCCGGAAGGGCACCAGUGAGAAGCUCAAAAAAUCAAAUUAUCGUUCUAAAGCAAGGAACAGAAACUUAUAUAGUACAUGUUCAGAUUCAUUUAGACACCAGUUAAUUUCUGUCUUCUUCUUUUUUUUUUUACUAUUUUUUUUUCCUCCAAAGCAAUUUGCUCGAGCAACGUAACUAAGUUGACGUCCUCAAAGCAAUUGAUUUUGACGUUUAAAGAAACGUAAAGAUUGAGUACUGUACAAAUGGGCUGCGUGAUACACAUUUUUUUAAAACAAGAAAACGUGGGAAGGAUGGAAAACUACUGGGGAGAGUCCUGAGCUUGAAGAGAAUUGUGAUGAAAAUUGGAGUAGUCAUUGGACCGAAUGUGACGGGUCAUCUGUUUUCUGAUACUUAUUUGCCCUUGUUAAGCAUUGCUCUUUUGUCUCCUUUUUGCAGGUUUAAUUAGUUUUGUACUUAGGUUAUAGAUGUAAAAAAAAAUAAAAUAAAAUCCCACCCAACAAUAUUCUGUUUUCUGUUUUUUUUUUUCUAUUUUAGCUCUUUUGUCACCUCUCAAAUAGCGAGUAUGGUUCGAAGCCUUUUAUUUUUUCAAACUUAGUCAUGGGUCCCCAAAACUUUGACAAAUUGAUGUGCUUACAUGUAUAAUUUUAUUGUUGCAGCAUGUCAGGACAUGAUCAAUGGAAAAUUGGUGAGACCUAGGCGGGCGCAUUGUAACAGCUAUGGUCCUGUAGAUGAAAGACAUUUAGGUUUUUCUUUUGUUGCUUGUUACCCUGCUAUGAUUUGUCCAAGGAUCCUUGCACCGUAAGAUGAAAAUAAUUGCCUAUUGAUUUAUGGAAUAGGCCAUUGUACUACAUUCCAAUAGUAAUGUUUAUAAGUAUUUAUUUUCCUAUUUUUUUACCAUAAUAAUUUUAUUCAAUGACAAAUAAUUCUAUAAAAUAUCAAUUUUAUCUCAAACUCAAUUGAUAACCUAUUGAAAUUGAAAAAAAAUAGACGACCAAUCUAAUUUAUAUAUAGUACAUAUUCUUUCAAUUUUAAAGGGAUACCUAAUUGAGUGCUUAAUUAUCAAUACAAGUGAAAGAUAAUACAAUUCAUGAUUAAUUAAUUCUUCAUACUGCAAAACAAUACAUACAUAUAUUAUGCUAAAUCUGAGACCUGUGAUACCCCGAAUAUUAGGAGGUUGGUUGUAAAGAAGAUAUUAAAGUGCAUUUCUUUGGGUUUGAUUUAAAACCUUAUUUUGUUUUAAAAGACUAGAAACCCUAAAAUUUUAAUCAAAAACCCUAGUUUACUUGUGACUAACCGGUUUUCUUAAAUGUCUCAUAUUUUAAUAAAAACCCUAAUUUUAAUCACUGAAAUUGUAAAACCCUCACGUUUUUCUUAAAAAUUUCCUCUUAUUUGGAAAUUCAUUAUUAUUAAAACCCUACUACCCAAUCGUUCCACAAUAAGUGCAAAUAAACCUAGAAAGUAGGGUUUUAAUCUUCGUUUUCAAGAUUGGAGCAAAUUAGGGUUUUCGCGAUUUUUCGCCGGAUGAUUUUUCGGUACGGAGCAAGGAUCAAAUUUGGUGAUUAAAAGUGACUUUUAGGUGGGAAAUAAUAUGUGAUUAGGGGCAAUGAUAUAAGGUUAGUGAAUAGGAAGUAAAAACCCUAGUACGAGUGUUUUAAAGAAAAACGGCGCGAACCGACGGGUACCGCGCACUACCGAUUGGACGCACCACUUGACCACCACUUUCUUAUCACAUGAGCAUUAAUACUUGAGCAAAAUAUCCCCCCCUCAUUGCCAGCUAGCUUGACCGAAAAUGUGGACCAAAUAGCAAAAGCAAGGAAAAGAAAGAGAAAAAUGAGUGGUGGUAGUGGCGCCACUUGUCGGCCAUCUACGGGCCAUUGACCAAGAUACCUUGUCUACCUUCUUAUCACCUUGGAGACCUCUUUCUUCUUCAUUUUGCUGCUCCGUAGCUGAGACAAGAGAGGGGAAAAACACCAAGAGAGAAUUUCUCCAUUUCUUCUUGAAUCUAACCACAAAGUGAGGAAACCAAGAAAAUAAACCGAUUAAACUCACCUUUGAGUGUUUGUUUAGUGAAGUGUUGGUGAAAUUUUGAAGGGGAAAGCUAGGGUUGCUCUUGGUAGACACUAAGCAAGGUAAGGAUGAUGAUUUUCCCAAUUCUUACUCUCAAUCUUGUUUAAAUUAGCUGAGCAACUCAAAAUUGUGGUGAAUAAUGGUUGUUAUCAUGUCUUGGGUGUUGUUUUCCUUUUGGAUAUAUGUGAGUUAGGGUUUGAGGUACUUGCUGCCUAUACUUGCUAUAUGGAUGAUAUAUGUGGUAUCUAAUAUAUAAGUGGUUUUGGUGAUGAUUAGAGCAAGAAAAUCAAGAAAGGUUGCAUUGAAAACAAAAAAUUCCAGAUUUCUGGAAAAAUUUCCCCUCUUUCUGUCCGUUUUAUUGUAUUAUGUUAGAGGCCGAAUUAGCCUUAGGUUAAAACAUGAAAGUUGUAUAGAAUGGUAUUUUUAGUUUCCUACAAAAUUUCAGCUAAUCGGAGCAACGUAACCUGUGAAAAGACCAAAAUACCCUCGCUGUUCUAGGUUACAUUCCAGAGUUCCGCGUGGACAGUCUAGUCUAUUUGGUUGUGUUUAUUCACUAUAAUCCGUUCAUAUUUAGCCAUUUUACAAAACAUUAAAGUUUUAGUACCCUGUCUUAGCUUUUCAACGCCACCAAGAACGUCUUAAACGGACCUCGGUAGACUGAGAUAUGGUCAUUUGAAUACAGUACGGUUGAUUAGCCGAAUAGUUGGAACCAGGUUAUAUGAAUUGGGAAUUGAUUAGGUUACACUGGAAAUUAGACUAAGUGCUCUUCAUGGAAAUUGUAGGCCUUCGUCUUAGCUUCGAAUUGGUAUAAGUUGCACCUCAAUUCGAUAAGCGUAGCCUCGGAUGUUCCCAUUCCGCAAAAACCGUCAAAACUGUCUUUUGUAAACGCCGUUUCCGCACUCGUUAUUAGCUUGAUUUCUUUUCUUGUAUUGUUUUGAGCCUAUGGAAUGGCUAUUGAAAUGAAAUUGUGUUAUGUGUAACCUUGGGUUUGGUUGAGUAAAAAGAAUGAAGCCAUAAAUGGCUGGAAAAUUAGGUAAACACAAAGGCGUGCUGCCCAAAUUUACGCUCGAGGACUAUAGAAAUACACUUGCGACUUGGGUAGAGUUGAUAUGAAUAUCACUUGAACCAUCUAGGGUACUUGAGUCUUCUUGUUCCGAGGUAUAUAAGUAAGGACUUGGCCGAACUUGUACUCUGAGAAAUGAAAUAAUGAUUGCUCGGAGUAUGUUUUCCUUGUACUUUCGACUCGCAUGGCAUUUUCAAGUAUAAAUGUUACAAAGUUUUAUCGUUUAAAAAGCGAGCAAGUGUUUCACGACUACUCCAAGUGAAUUCCAAUUUCCUGAUUUUUAUUGAACGAAACGUUUAAAUUUCGAAUCUUAGUCAUGUUUCAAAGUUCUCAAAUUGAAUUUUUAUCGCAGAUCUGGACUCCAAACCUGGAGUAUAACUGAACGUGAAUACUAGAAGCACUAUGGCUCCAUUUGGAUUAGCUGUUUUUGGUGAGUGCUUUCAAAUACCGAAUUGCACUAGAUACUUGAACUUGAUACGUGACCAAUAUGAUUACAUGUUAUACGUGAAUUGGUAGGGCAGAGUGUACUUUAUCGCACUUGCCCUUAUGUGAUAUAUACUUGUUUAUUGUUGCAAUUGACUUGAUAUACUUGUUUAUGAUGCGCGCACUUCCUGGAAUUCCAGAAACCCUGCGGCGAGUUACUUAAGUCGAGCCGGCAAAGGCUUGGUCGAUUGGGUAACGAACUCUGGGUCUCUUGUUUUGUCGAGUGGAGUGAUAUCUCUCGACUAAUCGGUAUACUCGAGUAUUACCACCCGUGUUUCUUGAAGAUUUUGGGCCCAGCUGGGGGUUUGAACGGUGGAUGGAGAGUCGUUUAAGUGGUGUUCUACUGGAUUGGUUACUUACUUGAAAGUUGACGGAGUGUCAACUGUUACUUGAUCAAGCUCUGGAGAUGCAAUGGGCAUUUGGCUCCUGAGAGCCUUCUGUAUCCUUAUACUGAAAAUGAUUAUUGCUUAUCAGAUUGUUGUUCCUUUUGAAAACCAAAAGCACUUUAUACUCGUUCAUUUGGAAAUUUGCUACUUGAAGUGUUGGUGUUCCCUUCAUGAACUUGUUAAGCUCGCUAUCUUUUGCUACGUUGAUACGUGUACUUUGAAUAUGAUCAAUUUGUUAUUUGGAACCUCACUGGGCUUUUAGCUCAUUCCACGCUAUUUGUUUUCCUUACAGGGGGUACGAGCAAAGCGUGAGAUGUGUAAAGACUAGCGUAGUCUAAUUGUUUGACUUUUGACUUUUGUCUUGUACUCGCGCUAUUCCUCGAAUAGAAUGUUUUGUAUUUGGAUUGUAUCCGCUUUGAACCAGUUUGGGUAUAUUGAGGUUUUGUACCUUGAUUUUCAUCAAUGUAAAUUCUAAACUUGAAUUGCGAUGUUAAUUAUGGUCCAUGGAUGUAUGCAUGUGAUUCGAGUGAGUGAGUGAGUGAGUCCUGGCGAGAGCUGGGCAGGCGGUCCGCCGAAUCCUUUGGUAAGCCUUAGGGGAGGUGGGGUCGUCACAAGACCAGCUAUACAAGAAGUCUAUGAGAAAUCAGUGGGAUGAAUAAUGAAAUAUAAAGUAAAAAGAAAAGAAAAGAAAGAAGUUUACUUAAAUUUUUUUCCCAUUGACUAAUGGUGCAAAAUAACAUAGAUUGGCAUGGGCUGCCGGCUGCUGAGAUACAGGGAGAGGCGGUGGAUGUGAAAAAUCUUCAACGCUCUCUAUGCACUGCUUGAUCUUAUUGUCGUGUAAUGUACUAUGACCCAUAACAUAUCACAAAGUAGAAAAUGGUGAGUCAUAUAUUAUUUUUAAUUUUUUUUCUGCAAAGGGCGUAUCCUAAUUUAUGCCAGACUAAUUCCCCUGUGAUGAUGCAGAGCCCGCUCCAAAAAUACGUCAUAUGAUAGCCAGCAGGAGUCGACCUCAUAAUUUUAAGGGUAAAGGCCUAACAGAAAUACCAUUUCAACUAUCCGCUGAGAGCAGUAUAUUGUUUUCUAAUUAGUAAACAAAAGAUGUCUAAUCAUCACAGUCAAUAGUUGAUUUUAGUACAUUACGUGGCAUGUCACGUAGUACAUAUAGAAUGUGUAAUACUUUCUCUUCUCAUCGUGGUGAUAGAUGCUCAACGCAGCCCAAAAUUGCUGGCCUUACUUUCCCUUCUUAGUACUUCAUGUGGGUUGAUUCCUUUGCAAGGUAUACUUGGGUGGAUUGAUAAUAGAGGAAUAGGCAUGUUUUGGUCUAGAAUAGGGAUGUAAACGAGUUCAACUUUGACCUAAUCAAGUCGAGUCUCUAGUUAAUUUAUGAAUCUCGAACUCGAACUUGAAUUCGACGAGUUCAAAAUAUCAAGUUUGAUCUUGAGCUCGACUCAAAUUUGAGUCCAACUUAAAAAAUAAAAAAAAUAUUAUUAUUUUAUUUUUCUAAAAUAAAAAUAUACUUAUUUUAUUUUUUAAAAUGAAUAAAAUAAUAAUUUUUUAAAAACAAUAAAAUUAGGAUAUACAUAUGUAAUUUUACUAUUAAAGAAAAAAAUAAAAAAUUUAUAUAUAAUUGAGCUUGCGAACCAACUAGCUUAAUAUUUUUGAGUUCGAGCCUCGAGUCGAGCUCGAUGUUGACCAAGCUUGAUCGACUCGAUUCGUGAGCAGCCCUAGUCUAGAAUGAUUGUGCCACUCACUCUAGCACAAAUGGUAGAAACUACACAUUUAAUUCUAAAAAGAUUUUCUCAGGAAAUAGUUUCUGUCAAGAUUCUAAGAAAACUAUCUCACAGCACACAACACACACACACACACACAUAUUAGGCACUGAUCCUCUCGCAUUAUUCUCAUAACUUUCCAGGAAUUCCAAUGACAUGAGAAAUAGUACAGUAUAUAAACAUAGGAGGCGGACACGAGAUCUGGGGAAUGAAUGAAAUUAAGGAAGUUGUUCACAGGGCUGAUCUGACAAAAGUGGAGCCAUCAAUAAUACUGUGAUGGUUGUUGCUCAACAACUUCUCCAGCUCUCUCACAAAUCUGUCCAUCGCAAAGCCCGGCAGGCAAAUAGGAACCACUAUUCCUUUCUCCCCGUUCUUGUUCGUGACAGUUAUGUAAAAGCUCAACAAGCCGGGGAUGGCACCAACCCCGCCCUUGGCCGGGCCUCCGUACUCUGGCCUUCCCCAACCGAAAUCCACCUCAUUGAACCCAAUCCGAGUAACAUCCGACACGAGGUAGGUCCUCACCACGGUGAAAUGAGGCCUCCCUUUGAUAACCAUUAAAUCAGCCACCGAAUUCAUGUAAUCUUCAGUCACAUCACCUUUGGCCUUGGUCACCAACUCCAACGCAUAUCCGAGAGGCCUCUUGCACAGCUCUCCAGCAGUCGUCAGGGCCGCCGGCAAUGCAAAGCCAUUGCCGUAGUAUCCUUGUGGCAAGGGAGGAUCGAACUUGGAGCGAGCAUUGAUGACGCAGAUCAUGCGGACUUCCUCAUUGGGUUCGGGCUGGAGGGCGAUGGUCCGGCAACGCCAGAGAUAGGCCGUCAAAACCUCAAAUGUCGUACACUUGCGACUGAUGUCGAGCGGGAUGGAUUUUCUCAAAGCUGACACCUCCGCCGGGCCAAAGAAGAAAGAGCGGUGGACCAUGUCGUCCAGGGGAAUUAUGGUUCCUUUGGUAUCGGGUACCUCAUCGUAUUCAUGAUGGAUGCACGCCACCCUUGGUGGGUCUCUAGCGUUCAAGCGCUCUCUCUGCCAUACUGGCAGUACAGAUGGGGUGGAAGCUCCCCGUGCGAUUUCGCCGACUGCAUUCAUGAACUGAACGAGUCCGGUACCGUCUGCCAUGGUGUGAUUCAGGCGCACUGCGAAGAUGAAACCCCCGCAUCUCAAACGAGUCACCUACAAUACAAGUACUCAAUUAUGAUCAGUAAGUAGAUAUACAGCAGUAGUAGUUGUUGUUUUCAUGCAGUAAUUGCGACUGGAAUUAAUUUAUGAAAUUAGCAGUAUACGUGACAAAGCAGUUGACGAGACCAGACCAGACCAAUGCAAUCGAUCAGAACAGUCAACCCAAGAAAUUGGUUAGAUUUUUGAAGGGAGGGUGUCUAAAAUUUUUUCAUAAAAAAUCACAAUCCAAAGUCUUAGACUCUUCAUCGUUUUUUCCUUUUUUUUGGAUUGUGUUUGGUGGUUGGGGGGGUGGGGGUGGGGUUUGUGCUAAGCUUUCCUAUUCAUAAAGCAUGAGAAGGAAAUUCAACAUUAAAAUUAAAAUUUUGUGUCAUAUUUUUGUUUUUUCAAUUUUAUCCUCACAAAAGGAAAAAUUUACAAAGAUGCCUACUUUAAGUUUAGGAACUCUCUGAAUGUAAAGCAUGAGAAGAGGAUUUGACGUCAAAAUUUUUUGUCAUCUUUUGAUAUUUUUUUCAAUUUUAUUGUCAUAAGAGUAAAAUUUUACUACUAAAGAUAACUGCUUAAAUUCAGUAACUUCUAAUAACUUCUAUUUUAUAUAUUUUUUUUCCCAAAAAAAAAUCCGUACGAUUUAAAUAAAAACAACUUCUUAAUUUGUACACUCAAGUAUUCAACUCUAAAUUCACCCCCUAAAUCCUUGGAGAAACAACCAAGACGAAAAUAGACAGCUCCAGCCUCACCUCAGGGACAAAUCAAGUCAAAAAAAAGAGAGAGAGAGAGAGAGAAAAAAACGCAACAGUAAAGUUGGUUUAGACCUGUAUAAGCAGUAAAGGACAGUGAAGGACUCCUGCAGACUCAGGAACAUCAUAGAGGAGCUCCUCCAGGCAGGGGAAUGGAGGCUGAAGUUCUUCCCCAAACUGCUCCAGCGUCACCUCUGCAUCCGCUUCAAUGAACAUGACACCCUCCCCCGUGCAGUCCACCACCAGCUUCCUCCCGGCGCAUUCUCUGAGACGCCCUGCGAAGGGGUAGUAGAACACCAGAGCCUUGGCAAUAGCCUCCCUGAUCACCUUCACGGGGUCUCUCCUGCUAUGAAGAUGAUCGUCAUCGCUGCGGUAAAAUUGGAUGACAGGGACUUGAAAGCGAAGACCCUCUUGAUCGUCGAUGUCAGAGAGGAGCUUGCAUUCCCGAGGAGUGGACUUCGCCGGACGGACCAGCUCAGGCUUUUGUCGGGUCACCCUGAAUGUCAGAGACUUUGAUCCCAUUUUGUUGUCCACAAACAAACUGCUACGCGCACAGUGAUUUGACCACCACCAACACGAAUAUAUUUGCUCAGGCUCAGGCUUAGUAAAUGAAAACACUAGUAAUGAGAAUGCUUUAUUGUGUGUAUACAAAUAUAGAUAGUUUGACACAGGAGAAGAAAGAAAGAAGAUUUGGUAGUUUUGAGGAUGCCUACCUUCCUUCCCACAGCAUGGGAUUUAUACAGUACCACUGAUUGCAACAGUAGCCAUAACUCAUAUGCAAGAGGAGUUGAAGUAAAAACACACCACGUCUAGUGCACUUAAUUGUUUUUGCUUGCAAGUACAUUUUUCUCAUCUUUUCCCACUUCUUUUGUCAAUUGACCGACCUGCUAUUUUGUCUAGCCUUCUUCUCACUUUCAGGCCUUCCCACUAUAAAACAACAAAAAGAUGCUUGUUGUAACUUGGAUCAACAUGUAACCGCCAGCCAUUUAAGGUUUGGCUGGUGGAAGGUAAGGGUUAUUAGUGCAUCCAUCAAUCGUCACAUUAAAUAAUUUCUUUAAAAAAUUUAGAUGAAUGUGUAGUACAUCCGUCUGAUUCGUUGGUGAUUCACUCCUCAUCGACUUUUCUAGACUCAGUUGAAUUUUCCCUUUAGAUUAGAAUGGUGUACGAUUGACGAUUGAUAAAAAAAAAAAAAGGAACUUGGAUCAACACUCUCAAAUGAAUUUUUAUGCCUAAAAUUUCUGGGCUAUUUCUCUCAACACAUUAUUGUACCAGUAGCAUGCUUUAAUUUUCCCUCGAGUUUCUCAGUACUUCUAUGUGAUGUGGACCUCCUCCUCCUGCAAAUAGAAAACAAAUCCCGUUUCAGCUUAUCAUUCAUUACGCAAUAUAUAUUAGAAUUAAAUUUUUUUUUUUGAAGGAACUAGAAUCCGGUUAUGUUAGUGCAAAAUAAUCCUAGACCUUCAUGGGUGCAAAUAUAGGACAGAGCAUCUAUGCAAGUAAAAAAUUAAUAUUACUCUUUGAUUUAAAAUUUACUAAGCAAAAAAUAUUAAUCUAUUUUUACUUCAACAACAUGCCGGAAGGGCACCAGUGAGAAGCUCAAAAAAUCAAAUUAUCGUUCUAAAGCAAGGAACAGAAACUUAUAUGGUACAUGUUCAGAUUCAUUUAGACACCAGUUAAUUUUUGUCUUCUUCUUCUUCUUUUUUUUUUUUUACUAUUUUAUUUUUCCUCCAAAGCAAUUUGCGUUUACUAUUUUAUUUUUCUGUCUUCUUCUUCUUCUUUAUACGUAACUAAGUUGACGACCUCAAAGCAAUUGAUUUUGACGUUUAAAGAAACGUAAAGAUUGAGUACUGUACAAAUGGGCUGCGUGAUACACAUUUUUUUAAAACUAGGAGGGGAUCACCGCGCUAUGCGCGGUGGGUGAAAGCAGUGAUGCCCAGUAAUGCCCAGUUGAAUAAUUAAUUUUGUAAAAUUAGUUAAUUCAAAGAAGAAUCAAUGCAUUAACACUGAUCGUGGGGUAGUGGUUGCUUGGUUCAGCUAAGAAGAAGUGGAAACUACCAGUAAUGUAUUCAAUCUAUAGGUAAAUUACACUGUACGGUUCAGCUAAAUUCAUUAAGCAUCCGAAUAAAUAUUGAAUGUGUGAUACCAAGGAAAAUAUUUUUCAACUCCGGUAUCAUCGAAGAUUAAAACUGUAAAUAUAUUUUCAGAUUCCGGAACAAAGACCAGAGUUUCAUUGUGUUGCAAUUGAUGUUGAAGAACGAAAUCUCUCCAGUUUCGGUGAAGGCGUUUAUGCUUUACACCAAUUUGAGUAGUUUUUUGUCCAGUGUUGAUAAGUAACAUGGGAGUCUUGAUAUCAUUGAUGAAGUGAUCAAUAAAGCGCGGAAUUUGCUAUCAUCAAAAGGUGCAGAUUAGAAGAUAUGCAGAAACAAAAGGAAAUUGCUUGCGAGAAAGUUGAGAUGAAAAAAGAGAAUGCAGGUAAACAUAGAAUAGCUUACCAAGCUGUUUGGAGUUGCGGAGUUAAAGAUUUGAUAAAAGCACACUGAAUCAGAUAGAUCUUGACAGAAAUCUGGUCUUAGUGAGAAAGUAACUUGCUGGUGUGUAGCGGCCAUGUGGAUAUCAUCUGUCAUCAAACGACUGUGUUACAUUAAAAAUAAUACUAUAUAGAUGAGGAUAUGAGAUAGGUACAGCGGUAUUUUGACCUCUUGAUGCAAUGGCAUUCAUGUGCAAUAGAUCUGGUAGGGGGACGGUCCAAGGCAGAAGAACUUGUUUUUGUAGUUCACAAAAGUGAAUAACAUCAAAUAUCAGAUUCCCGCUAUGUCGAAGUAAUAGUGUGUCAUGCCUUUUAACAAUGUUUUGUUCACAAAAAACAUCCCAUCCUUGUGCGAAUCUAUGAUCCGUGACUGUGAUAGGCCAUUGCCGCAGUCCAAACCUUAGAAUAAUUCUAUUGCAGUGGUGUUGAUGGAGUAAUGAUUCAAACUGAGCAGGUAAUACCUUAAAAAAUGAAGCAGUAAAAUAUUGUCAAAGAAUACCAUACUAUUUAACUCUAAAUGCUGCAAUGUAGGUGAACGAGCUAAAGGUUAACCUGUCCUCUGUGGAUGCAUUUGAGCAGAAAACAGCAUGCUGAUAAGCAGCUAUUUGUCGGUUGAAAAUUUGUUGGAGAUUCUAAGAUUGUUUCUGCCAUUGAACUAUCAGAGGAAAUCUGUAAAAUUGGAAAAUCAGAAAAGUGGUCUAUUAAUGAAAAAUGUGAGUUUAAGGCUACAUCAUGUGAUAAGGAUUAGAAAUACACUGUAGAGAAACUCACCUGCUGACAAGUUCUUAUGCAGAAAAAGCGGUAGUGCAAAUGUAUGGCUAAUAGUUGUUAUGGAUGAUCUUGUAAACGGAAAGAGCAUAUAUAUAAAGAAAAGAUCAAUGUAAAAAGAGUAUAUUUUUCAUUGCUUUUAAUGCAAGUGCAAGCUUCUUCCUACCACAAUUGUAAAGAUUUAUUAGUGCAGAAGAAGGUAAGGGACAAUGAAUAGAAAAGACAAUUCAAUGUGAAACAUUAAGUGUGAGUUGUCAACCGGCUGCAUGUAAAGUAAUGCAUUGUAAUGCUUUAAUGGCCUGAAGGCAAGAUCAUAAUUCACCCUAUACUUGCCAUGUUUGUUGUAGUAGGUAGGCUGGCAUAGAAGUAGCAGGACCUGAAUAUAUAAGUUUUAUUUGUAAAAAAUGCUGUCAUUUGUAAUAAAUGAAUAAGUGUGCAUACAAAGCUGGAGGUUCCAAACGGAUAAUAAUAAUUGCAUUGCAGAAAAUAUAUAGAAACGGAAAUGAAUCCCAAAUUAUAUAGAUUAUAAAGCUGCUAGUUCUGCAAAAAGGGAGUUCAUCGUCAGGGAUUAAAAGAUAUCUGUGAAAAUCCUCAUGCUGUCCAAGAUGGAGGAUUUCAGUCAAUCUUUGAAAGCCUGGCAAGAACUUUGAUACAGGUGCUAUUAUCAAAGUUCAUUGAUCAUGACAAAAGCUGGUUAGCAGAUAACCAGGUACAAAAGUGAAGGAAUUGUGAACAGGUGAGCAGCAUUUCCAAAAGUUAUAAACAAUCUGCCUAAGUAUAGAAGUGCAGAUGACAGAAAGCAAAAAAUAUUAAUGUUUGAAGCAGUCCAAAAGGAAACGAGGGCAGUUCAGCCUAAUUUUGCUUUCUUUUUGGAGUUGGCAUCUGAACUUUCAAAGUCAUUGUGUCGACUGUUUCUGCUUCAUCAAACUUCUGACUGAGUCGAAGACGUACUUUUGAGCCUGAACCACCAUCUCCUGUAAGCACAAGGAGUAAUAAGUUAACAGUUCAUCUAAAGAAGACAUGGUUAUGUGUUACAAGUCUAGGUAUAUUUAUCAACCUGUCAUCAGUAAGUGUUCAUUUUCAGUUUGUUGGUGAGCUGAAACCGAGACAGAUUCUGGUUCACCUGUUAACUGAGCAUGACCAAAUUCUGGUUCAACUUCAGAGCAAUAUAGAAUUGUAUAACGCUGUCUAGCAUCAGCGAGCUGUGUUUGGACUGGUUUAAUGUGAACCAAAAAUGUCUUCGUUUUAAGCCGAGCAUGAACAAACUCAAGUGGUAGUUCAAGAUUCUGCAAGAAGUACAGAAGAUAUAAGGGUGACAAGCAAAUAGCGCACUGAAUAUUAAAUUUGAGCAGUUAAAGUAACCUGAUUAAAAUGAUCCAUUGCUUCAAGGGCAGUAAAGGUGAGAAUAUUUUCUGCUAGAUCUCCAAAGAUAGAAGCAGGUAUAACUCCACUGUCGUCGCUCAAAUCAACGUCAAAGCGGCACCUAAAACAUAAGUAUAAAGUGCUUAGGCGAUACUGUAUAAUAUUAACAAUAACAGGAACUCUUUGCAUCUAAAUUAAAGUUAAUGAUGUAGUAAUAUAGGACCUAGGCAUAGCAGGGCCCUUCUCUUUGCAUAAGUUACAAGUAAACUCAAUUCCAUAGUCUGCUGCAGUAGCUCGGCAACACUUUGCACAGCUCAUAUACCAAUAUUUUGGAAGAUAUGUUCAAAAGAGAGCUUUGCCUUCACCCAGGCAGUCUAAAAGAUAGACAAGUAUCAGACGAAAUGCUAGAUAGAUAUGAAACCAUAAAAUUACAUAACAAUUUAUUAUUUAAUCACCUUCUGUGAUGGGAUAACAUUGCAAAUCAGAGUAGUUUUCUGAUCUGGUUUGAAACAAAGCGCAGGAUUGUACUUAAUAUAACUCUUUGCAUCAAUGAUUUCAGCAAUCAACUUAGCAUUUCUCAUUGCCCUACAAAAAAAAAGGACAUGUAAGGAAAAUACUGGGAAAAAAUGAUACAGCUCAUAUAAUGCUGCAUAAAAACAUGUUAGCUGAAGUCAUUGCACCAAUUCUUGAGCUGCCUUGCUUCCUGUAUUGGUGGAUCAACAAGGAGUGCAGAAUCGAACCAAGUAGAGAGAGCAACACCUAAAAAAUAAACAAUAGAAUGAAUAUUAAAUUAUGAUUAAGAAGCUUGACAUACAAAUAAAGGUCAUAAUACAGAAAAAUAGCAGUUCAACAAACCAUUGUAGUUGGUAACUUUCAGCCUUCGACCAAUGAUAACGGGAUAGCUUUGCAUGUUAUUCAACAAAACUUGACCUUCAUUGUUCAGAAAAUCAUCCCAUAGAGAAAGCAGGACAGUUUGGGACCUAACAUUGACAUAAAAUCAGGAUGAAAAUGAUUCAAAGCUAUAGGAAAAACGAGACAGAGACAGUAAAAAGGUUUGUAGCAUGAUAAAAAGACAUUUCGCACUCUUCAUUAAGGAGGACAAAUUUUUGAACAUUUGACUGUUUGGAGUUUUUAGUGAUCGUUUUCUUAGCCAAUGAACUGAUCACUACUCCAAGCACAUCUGCAAAGGGAAAGAAAGCAGGCUGAGAAUAUUUUCAGUUUGUAAUAAAAACAUGAAUGAUAGACUGUUUGCAUACUCACCGACGGACUUGCUUCUAUCAUCAUCCAUGUAUUCAGCUAAAUCAGCAAAUUGAGUAAAACUAAAUUUAACAGGCAUAAUGUCUUCACUGCCAUUGACUUCUUCAAUGACAGUUUUUGAAGUGAUCACCCAUUGUUUGGUUAAUCCAAGAGUCUGAAACUUUGGCGGAAUAGUCCUGACAUCAGCAUUUGAAAUCUUAUAUUUUUUAUAAACUUGCAGCAUAGGACUCAUUCUCGCAAUAUCAGCAUUGAAGAUUAUCCCUUCGACUUUAGAGCUCUAUCAGGAAAAAAAAAUACAUACCAAAUACGAUUAACAAAUAAAUAAAAGAAGAAAUAACUGAUAGUCGUUUCAGGUUCUAGAAUGCAACCUCUGAAUCAUAAAAGACAAACUUUUGCUUCUUGGUUGGUGUUCCCAUAGAAUCUGUCACCUGUUGUUUCUCCUGACUGUGAUGAUACAAGACCAGUUUUUCAUAUCAGGCAUGAUGUCCCCAAUCAGCAAGAGGUUAGACAUUCCUGUAAAAAAGGGAAAAUGAUCAUAAUGUAUAGGUUUGGGUAUAGAUAAGACCUUAACAGUAAGUAAACACAGCUAUAAACUGGUACAAGUAUACCUGAAUAUAAGAACAUUCUACUGCUGGCUCAAUUCAAAAAUUUCAUUGAACACAACAUUUCUAGUUUUGCAGUCUGUUUUUACACACCAUCAAAAGUUCCUGGUACAAUAAGUAUUUUCAGCUCACUUGAAGCUCUAGCUCUGGACAAGGCUACAUAUAGCUGUCCAUGAGAAAAGACAGGUUCCCGCAAGUAAAUCCAACAUAAUCAAGAGUUUGUCCUUGAGAUUUAUUAAUGGUCAAUGCAAAACAAAGUCGGACAGGAAACUGAGUUCUUAUGAAUGCAAUGGAAUUCUUUUGGUUGUCAGAAGUUUGUAAGGGUAUCUUUGGAAUGAGAACUCGCUUUCCUCUAUGCUGGCCGAAGACAAUUUCAGCAGAGAUAGUAUGUCGCCCAAGCUCUCUACAUAUAAGCCUUGUGCCAUUGCAUAGGCCUUCAACAGGAUUUAGAUUCCUUAUUAGUAUAAUCGGGCAGUUUUCUUUUAACAUUAACCUGUGAGGAGGAAGGCCUUUUGGAUUCUGAGAAUUAAGGAAAUCCUCGUAAUCACCCUGGUGUCGCUGAUCAACAGCUUUGUCAGAACUAAUGUAAGUAUGAAGCUCUCCAGGAAACCUCCUAAUCAUUAUAUCAUUUAACUCAUCAACCGAGUUAUUUUUAGGGGUAAGAAUACAUCUAUUAAUCAUGCUAUAUGGAUCCUGGGAAUAGAGAGUUAAAUCUGGAAAUACGGAGCGUAGCAACCUGUUAAUAAAGAAAAUAAAUUAGAACGUGUAUACAUUAAAGAGUAGAUGGAUAAAACAGGCCAAUAAUAAGUCAUUAACCUGUUUAAGGAUUCUUCUUUAUCAUAAUAAGGAAUGACUAAGUCUCUGGACAAAGUUAUUUCGCUGUUCAAGUCCACAGGUUCGCGCCCUUCGCCAACUCUUAACAGGAAUUCAGAAAAUUGAGGAUCUAAUAUAGCUCGCAUGUUUUCUGUUAACUUCAGUUUAUGAAGCUUAUACCACAAUGGAGAAUUGAGAAAGCAAGAUUGCAAAAGGCCUUCCUUUGUUGCUUGUUCAAUAACAGGUAGUGUCUGCCGAAAAUCCCCAAAAUACAAUAACUUUACCUCCAAAAGGCAGUUCAGAUUCCAUUAUGUCUCUAAGCAAAUCAUCAAAUGCCUCAAUGGUUUCUCGUUUUGCCAUGGAAGCUUCAUCCCACAAGAUCAGUUUAGACUCCGACAGCUUUGCAACACUGCCUUGCUUGCUAAGCUGACAGGCUCUGUUCUUUGAGAAAUCGAGAGGUAUCUUAAACCUUGAGUGUGCAGUUCUUCCUCCAGGUAGGAUAGACGCUGCAAUUCCAGAGGUUGCUACUGCAAUGGCUAUAUAACCUUGCGAUCUCAGAGUAGCAAGCAGUGACCGGUAUAAAAAUGUUUUACCGGUACCUCCAGGACCAUCAAUAAAAAAAGAAUGUCCUUGGAAAGCAAAGCAUGCUUCUAGGAUCAUGUUAUAAGCAUACUUUUGCUGUGAAUUUAAUUUUAAAGACAUUAGCAGAUCUUCCGGUGGUAUAUCUAUGUUUCUUUCAGCUUCAAUCUCUUUUGUUAGGUGAACUUGAUCCCACUAACAAGGUCAUCUAAUGGUAACUGAUACGCAGCAAUGCUUGUACCCAUCUGGCGAAGAGAUUUGUUAAUAUCAGCAAGAACUAAUCCCCUAAUUUCAGCAGGAGAGUGGUCAUGAGAUUGGUUGUGCCGCUGAUAAUCUCUAGAAAAGUCCAAUUCAAAUUUUUUCCACAGCAUCGCGGGAUCAGUUGGAGAACAAUAGACCAGGAGAGUAGCAAACAAUAAUCUGAGCGAAGAUGGCAUUUGAAAUGCAGCGGCUUCCUCAAGUGUUUCUUCUAUAUAUGUAUCAGAUUGCAACAACCCAAGCGCUAGAGCAGCCUCUCUAAACGAGUUCAUUUUUUUAUCAUUAACAGUCAAGAGAUAAUCAAAUGAUAUCGGUCCAGGAAUAUGAUUUAAGAGAAGCCUUAGAUAGUACCUCUCUCCUUCUCUUGGAUUAACACUGACAAGUCUACCUAUCACCUUUCGACGCUUCCUUUCCGUCCACUGUUUAUACUUGGAAGACCAAACGAAAUGCUGAGGGAAAUCUUUAUAAAAGCAUUUCAGGUUUUCAGCGGUUGCAUUGGUUGCAUUCAUCUUGAAAAACUCAGUUAGCAUGGUCUUAGAAAAAUCAACUUUUGCUAACAACUGCAACAAAUCUGAGUUUUCGAAAAGAAACAAGCUGCUGAUUUGGAAGGUGAACUUGGAGAGUAUAAACAGAUGGGGUCAUCUCAUUUAAACGGAACUCAUAGAUGCGCCAAAAUGCUUCCGGAGGUGAAAUGUAUCUACCUUUUUGGAACUCUUUAAUCUCGUCAGUAUCAGUAGCACUAUCAUCCGUCAUAAUCCUAAAAGAGACUUGAUCAUGUCCCUUGAACACAUACUUAUACAGGUACUUGACCAGUUUAAUGGUAGAACAAAUCUCCACAUUCAUGUGGCAAUCGAACAAAGCAAGAAGAUAGGGGUUGUAAGGCACAACCCACCUAUUAUCAAGGGUGAAUCUGCGAACUUUCACCUUCUUGCCAUCAUCCCUUCUUCUAUAAUAUGGGUAACUAUCUUCACUGUGGUUGUAUGAGGGCAAAAAUUUUUUGGAUAGUGAUUUUGCAGGAACCGUCUUUCAUACAUGGGCAACUUUUAUCCAUGUCUCCACAAGGACCAUGGAUCAUAUGCUUUACAACAAGAGAGUAGAGGUGAGGAUACUGAAGGCGAUCAGGUAAUUCAGCACAGACUACCUUGUCGUAUGAAUCUGGAUUGAGCAGCUUAAACUGAGGCUUUAAAAUGAGUAACAAAUGAGCAUGUGAAAUCCUCGUUUUUGAAAUUCGAUAACAUAGACGCAUGCUGCCACCUCACCAAAAAUCUGCUUAUUCAAGAGUUCGUGUUUAAGCAUUUCAAAUUUAGCUCUAAAACUCUAGCUAAAAGAUCAGGCCUAUCCUGCGGCUUCUCAUGAUACUUCAGAUUGCAUUGAAUUUCUUUCCAUGCCGGAUUGCAGGUCAUGGUAAGAAAAAUGUCUGAUUUUCCAUAUUUUUGUACAAGUGACAUUGCAUCAAGAUAGCGGCGCCUCAUGUCUCUGGACCACCUAUAAAGGAAGCAGGCAGCACUAUCCUACGACCAACUUUAGAACCUUCAGUUUGGCCUAGAGAGACACUAUCCAAUACCCCUUGAAGAAUUUCUGAUCUGACAACAUUUUGUCGAUGUCUAUGAAAGUCCAGCCUAGAAGUUUCUAUCUUCACAUAGGAAUCAACUGAAAAUUGUUGUAGAAGUCUAAGACAGUGCAGCAACAUCGACUCAUCGCUGUCUCUCAUUUGAAACCUAUAACAAUAAUAUUCUCUUGCUGAUACAGUGUCCUCUUCGUUCUUUCCAUGUUCAACGGCUAUAAAGAAAAGUAAAAAAUAUCAAACUAAUGAUGAAAAGAUUAUGAUGCUCACCCUAACAGCCUCAAAUAGCAAGAAAUAUACUUGCCUCUGCGUUCCAAAUCGAGUAAAUGUGAAGGGCUGUUAACAGAGGAAGGAUCAACAUUUAAAUCAUCCUCACAAGAAUCUGCCUUUCUCUUCCUCUUGCGAAGUUUUUUAACACCAUGGUGCCAUCCACAUUCACCUUGAGGAAAGAGAAUAGGGUACUGCAAAGGAUCAUAGCAGCCAUAGUAAUGCUUAAUUCUAUGGCUGGUAUUAGAGUGGGUAUAAACUUGAAUAUGAAUAUUUCUAUCUGCCGAUUCAUCCUCAUCCUCAGUCCAUAUGGCAGCAACUUGAGAGGCUGUAGGCAGAUUAUAGACUCGCUGGUCCAAACCGGGAUAACAAUUCAAAACAAUUUUAUAGGUGUCAAUGUUCGGAACAUUUCUGAGAUUCUUAAAGAAUUUAGCAUAAGGGUUGUUCGAAAGGAUACGCAUAAGCAAUCUUAAAGUGCUUUCACGCAACUUAUCAGAACUUCCAAUUCUCUUUGCUAAUUCUUCAUCAGAAUCAAAAAAGUAAAACUGAAUUCCAGAAGGUUUUUCAUAUGACUGUACCAAACUAUUAAGGAAAUGGUAGACCUGACCUUGAACACGGAAAGUAUAAACACCUUUCGUGUUCUUGGUCAGUUCAGGUCAUAUUUUGCAGAAAGGAUGUGAAUCCCAAGUUGUUAUUAUAGGUCCGAACAUUGUUUCUGAAAUGAGCACUUUCCUCAUCAUUUUCGAUAAAUAGACGCUUAAGAUCAUAAGGCAUCGAUGGAGCCACGAUAGAAAUAUCUCCUCCAGAGCAACAAAAGUUAGGAGGUUCCAAAUGGAACCUCUUGGCUCCACAGUGCUCACAAUCAGGAGCAUCUGGAAGAGUUAAAGCUUCGUGGGGAUUUCAUUGAUCGAAAAAUUUGCCGCUGCCUCCCUCUUUUAGGUGUAGCUGCAUUUAUUUCGAAACUAUAGCUGAGAAGCAAACUAAGCUGUGCCUCUAUUAGGCUAAUUAGCAAUGGCAUCAAAAUACCCGAAAUAGCUAUUGAAGAAUAAAAUGCCAACCCGGAGUUUGCUUCUUACACGACGACGAGAACAGCGGUUUCGGGUCGAAGGUUGAACUCUAUAUGAGAACCAGAACAGUGGGAAAUUGCUUGCUUUCCUCACAGGAGCAUUUCUUUCAAUAGAAUGGGUAGAUUGUCUCUCCGGAAUAGAGGAGGUUUCUGUAACCGUAUUAAGAAAUAAGCUAACUAAAAGGGGCCAAUGGCAUUUCAGUGAACACAAUCAAUGCAAUCGGAAUUAAAGAAUACUUAGCAGGGUUGUGUUGAGAAUAGCUGAUGUUUAAGAAAUGUACCUUGAGAAGCAGAAGCUGUUUCACAAGUGUGGUUCUCAGAGGGUGGCAUAUUUUUUCCAAAAUGAAAUAUUUGGUGGCUACCAUUGAAGAGAGAUUGCAGUUGACCAGAUUUCAUAUGAACCUUGGGCAAAGAAGAGUAUGCAACAACAUUUUCAAAAAGUUCAGGAGCAAGUAGAGGAUCUUUGCCUAUGCAAGAAGGCUGCAGGAUGUCUCAGAAACUCUAGAAGAGCUGUUGUGCCUAUCAACUGCAGCACAGGAACAAGCAAGCAGGUCUAAUAAUAGAAUCCUGCUCCUUAAAGGAUGCAUCUUUUUGUUGGAGGAAUUGAGCUGUCUCACUUGUAGUUGUGAGAGGAUAAAGCUCUUCAGAGUUCACAGAAACAUGGACCGAAGAACAAUACUCAACUGGAUUUUCAAAAAGAUUGUUCAUAGCAAAUCCUCUUUGUCAAAGUUGAGAGCUUGGAUGACGCUAUCAGAACGAUUAAAGCAAUCGCCUAGUCCAUCAUGCAAUGCUACAGGUAUAGAGUUCCUAAUUUUUCUCCUAGGCAACAGAAAUCAGGCUCAAUAGUGGAAGAAGGAAGGUUAAAAUUUUUUCUUUUUUCUGGAAGGAAUUUUCCUUUGCAGCUCCUAGAUCAGCCUUAACAGUAAGUGGAAACUCUGCAGAUUGCAAAUGAAGAUGGAUUCAUUCGCAAAGAAUCGAAAUGUUGAAUCAGCAACCAGCAGGUAGGGAAGCAAAGACGAUCUAAACACCAAGAACUGGACAGGAAGAAAGCAGCAAAAGAAGGACAUCUCCUACUAUACCUGCAAGAAUACUUGCAUUUGGCAUGUCGUUUGCAGCCUGAGAAGAGGGAGCAGAAUGGACGCGAGGAAUAAAAGGAGCGGAUUCAUGAGAGGACAUAUAUUGUAAUGCCUCAGUAAUGAUAGCAGCAUUGUCAUUACCGCUCUUCAAGGCCUCGGUCCUAAGAUUUCACUAUGCAUAGAAGAGUGAUUCGCACCAUCAAGUUUUUCAUGAUGUGAAUCAGGGAAAGAAACACCCGAUUCCAUAUAACCCAGUGGAACCUUACGAAUACGUGGGAGUAAAUGCGCAUUCUUUUUCUUGGCAGCUCUAUUUUCUUUCCGGCGUGCAGAAGUUGCAUUUUUUUCGAAGGUGGCAUUUCUGCGUAUUUUUUGCGGCGAGUAGCAUUUCCAUCCAUCGUUUUUUAGUAAGAGCAAAAAAUGUCGAAGGACUAUAUAAAGAGAGGAAUGUCUAACUUAGCAAAAAAGAAUGUAAAUCGAAAACUGGCAGAAAGCAGAGCAGGCAAAAAACAAGCGAACACAAAGAGAUGAAGGAGUUAAUAGCGGCAGCCGAGCAAAGAACAAAUGCUUACAUAAAAAAUAAUCAGGCAUGUAAAUAUAGCAGCAGAAACAAUAGAAUAACUCGUAUAUGCAAGAAAAGGAUCACAAAAGGUACAGGAAGUAAAAAAAGUCCCAAAGUUAAAAAAGGAAAAGCUGGAGCAGGCCAUAAGUGCUGAUGCAUCAGAAAAUAUAUCCCAAAGAUGCACAAAUUAAGGACAAAAUAUAGAGAAAAGAGCAAAACGAGAACAAAAUCAGAAGAACUAACCUAUGAACACGAAGAAGCUCAACACCGCAGAAGUGAAUAACAGCAGAAACUAUCAAAGAAAUGGCAAUCAUGUAAGAGGUAAUAAGAAAAGGUGAAAAAAAUGGGAGACAAAAAUAGAAGCUAAUUUGGUGAUAAUAAUUUAGAAGGGGCAGACAAAAAAGGGAAAAAAUAGUUGAACCAGUGCAUUAGAAAGCCGAGAAGCAAGGAAGAAAUAAAAAGCAAAGCAGCCUGAUAGCAAUCUUUGAAAUAUAUAAACAGUUAAAGAACAACAAAUUAAGCCGAACUAUAAAACCAACAUGCUCACCAGGAAGCAAAAACGACAGCAAGAGUGCAAAUUAAAACCAGACUGAUAAAUUAGGGAAAAUGAAGGUUCAAAAUAGACAAAGAAAACGAAGAACAAUCGUAUGAGGUAGUUCCCUCUGCUAACAAAGAAACAAGAGUUUUAGAAUAGAGAAAAGAAUGCAGUGGGUGCACAAUUACCAUUGUCAUGAUGAUGCUCAGUAGAAAAUCCGCCGCGGAAAAGAGAAACUGUAACCAUUGUGCAAAUGCAAAACACCAAACAAUGUCAAUCAAUCUCAGCAAAAGGAGCUGAUGGUAGGCAAUGGCGAAAAGUGACGGUUUUUUAUAGAUUUACAAACAUAACCUCAAGUAAAGGGCAAAAGGCGACAAGGUCCAUGGAGUGGAAUCGUAAAUAUAGCCACAAGGGAUGGGUAAUAUAGAAAAUUAAGGUAGCAAUUAAUCAGGUCAAGUACAGUCACUUGUCGGCAGAAACAGGCUGGUGACAAGUAGUGCCUGAUGAGGAACUCGAGAAAGCUUGCUCUGGAACUAAACAAACAAGAUGCAGGCUUGUUUGUAAAAAUGAGUCAAUCAGAUUAGCAAUAAGGAGUUGGUUACGACAGGAAAAGUAACGAAAGAAAAGAAUAAGACAAGCAUGUUUCUUGGCUAAUAACUACAUAGAAUUGGUAAUUAAAUGCGAUUUUUUUGGGUAACAAAAAUAUUAAUAAUUAAAAAGGCCAGCAAUUAAAUGUGAUUUUUGUAGCAAUAAAACUGCCAAAUCAGAACCGAAUUAAUAAAAGAGUAAUUGAAAAAAACUGAUAAUUAAACUCCAUUUGUUGGGCAACCCAAAACAAAAGAGGACAUUUUCUUAAUGAAAUCUGGAAAAAAGGAAAUUAGAUGUGAUAUUUCUGACAAGAAAAGAAAUGUUGCUAAUAAUUGCAAAAAGUUAUGAAUUAAAUGGCAGUUGUUGGGUAACAAAAAAUGGCGAUAACAAAAAAAUGGUAUUAUUUAUCAGUUAUUAACAAUGUAUUCUAAAAAGUUGGUAAUCAAAUAUGAUUUGUUUGCUAACAAAAAAAAACACAAAUAAAAAUAGAUAAGUAAAUAAUUAUAACAAUUAAUAGCCGGGAAUCAAUAAUUAAGCAUGGUGUGUGGCGUGACCAGGUAAAAUCAAUUGAAGUGUAAAAUUUUCACAAUUGAAGGAUAACAAAAGCAAUAUAAAAAAAUAAUAUAUAAGCAAUUAUUGCAAAAAAAUAAUUAUUAAUAAUUGCAGUUAAUUUGGAAACAAAGGGAAAGUAGUAAUAAUUGUAAAGAACCGGGAUAUAAAGUUUUUUGGCAACACAAUCUAUUGUUGAGAAAGGGAAAAAAUGGCAUCAUUAAUAAGUCAUUAACAAUUAAGAAUAAAUAAUUGGUAAUUAAACGUGAUUUAUUGGUUAAAAAAAGGGAAUCCAAAUAAAAAGAGAUAAAUAAAUAGUUAUAACAAUUAAGAACGGAGAAUCGAUAAUCAAAUGCGGUGCGCGGCGUGGACAAACGAUAAAUGACACCAACGGAAGCGCACCACAUUGCUGAUUGUUUAUGUAAAAUCGAUACCAAAUAAAAUUGUAAUAAAAAUUUGAUAAUAAUAGUCGAAUGCCAUCCCCUCUCAUUCUAAAAAAAAAAAAAGCAUGUGCCAAUAAUUAAUAUAAGCCAAUUACAAGAAAUCGAUAAGUAAUUGCGAUUUAUUUGGAAAGUCCAAAUAUGUUAAUAACUGUAAGAGGGGGAUAGCUAAAUGCGACUUGUUACGUAAUAAGUAAAAAUCGAGUUUAUUAAUCAGUUAACAAACAAUUAAUUGGAAAGAAUUUGAUAAUUAUAUGCGUUUUUUUGAGGAACCACAAAAGGCAUUCUUUAGCUAACAAUUGGGGAAAAUGCUAAUUAGAUAGUUUAAAAAGAGGGAUAAUUCCAAUUCAAUAAGGGAAUUAUUGGAUAAUUCUGCCGGGAUAAUUCUAAACCAACAAGGGAAUGAGAGGGGCUGUAGCAUCCAAAAAAAGGUUAUUAACAAGCACUUCCAUCCAAUUUUAAAAAAAGAAAAGGGGAAAAAAACCAAAGGACGUGGGACCACAAUUUUGCGGCAGGCUCCAAUGUAGACAUCCAAGCAAACAAAGAAAAGAAAGAAACAAUCGGCUGGACGGACCAAUUCACGCGAGCGAAUACACACGAGGCAGACGACCACCAAUCGGCCAAUGGAAGCUCGCCACGUCAGCAAUUAGAACUCGAUUGAAAAGCUCCCCAUUCCCGCAUAGACUAGAUAUGUUGACAAGAAAACGUGGGAAGGUGGUCGGUGAAGGAUGGAAAACUACUGGGCAGAGUCCUGAGCAAAAGCUAUUUGAUUAUUUUUGCAAUAUGGUCAGACAAGGCAAGCACACCCUGAUUUCCGAUUAAUGAGUUCUAUACAGCAGAAGCCAAACUUUUAUAACCAUCUCUUGAAGCAGUUGGCCACCGCAUGUCUUAUCCAACUGGACAAUAUUGAAUUUGGGUUUUAUUUUAUCCCAAAUUCAACACAGUAUGGUAGAUAGAAUAAAACUCAAAUCCAACAGACAACGAGACGUUAUCUUUUUUCGUGGCCAAAAUUUUAUAGAAGUAAUUGUUAAAUCUCAUUCAAGUGGACAAUGAACUAUAACCUAAUUGGUAAAGAUGAUUCAUCGUUAGAUCAUGGAUUCUUUCAAGUUAUUCAUUCAAAUGGACAAUAAAAAAUAACCUAAUUGAUUACAUGAGAAUUCAAGUCAUCAGAGGGAAAAAGUAAAAAAAAUACUAUUGAUACUCUUUCCUUCCUUUUUUUUUUCCCAAACAUAUAUAGACCAAGAGCUUAGAAGGUGUGUGCUUUUGCUGACGUGUUGAUUGGUAAUUUGCUAAAAGGUUUUCGUCCUCCAUGCGCCGUUCACGUGACCCAGCACUAUUUCUACCUUAAGAUUUGUAUUAAGGUAGAAAUGAGUUUUUGAUCCCUAAUGUUUGAUCUAUGUUCUAAAUUUGUUUCUAAUCUUUUAACCAAAGUAAAUUUAGUUCUCAAAGUUUUGCAUUUUUUAAUCAUUUAGGUCAAUUGAUGGAAAAUCAACAACGAUUAAUAGUCAAUAUCAAAUUAUCGUUAUUCAAGAACUUUACCUUUACAUUUUGGUCCCAAUGUUUUAAAUUUGUAUUAUUAUGGUUCCUUAGGUUUUAAAUAAUUAUAAUUAGCGUUUGAAGAUGAAACGAGAUGUAAAUUGAUUAAAUAUAUAAUACAUGUGUUGCUAACUCUCUAUAGAAUGUCAUAAAACACAUCAUGUAGGCAAAACAAUGAUGUUUAACCUAAAAUGCAUCUCUUUAUUAAAUAAGUUAAAAUUGGAUAAUAAUACACAUUUGAUAUAUACAACAAAAAGAACAUAGUUUAAUAUAUAUCACUUUAUUAGUUACUACUAUACAAAUUCUUGCAUGAUUAAUAGACUAGGCUGCAAAUGGUUGUAGUUAGAAAUUGUGAUUUGUGACUCUAAAAACUAUUGAAGGUAAUUACUUAGGAAUUUUUGAGAAAAAAAAACCUUCUUUAUUUUUAUUGUUUUUCGACCCAUUAAAUCCAACGUUCCAAUAGUAAUGUUUAUAAGUAUUUAUUUUCCUAUUUUUUACCAUAAUAAUUUUAUUCAAUGACAAAUAAUUCUAUAAAAUAUCAAUUUUAUCUCAAACUCAAUUGAUAACCUAUUGAAAUUGAAAAUAAAAUAGAUGAACAAUCUAAUUUAUAGAUAGUACAUAUUCUUUCAAUUUUAAAGGGAUACUUAAUUGAGUGCUUAAUUAUCAAUACAAGUGAAAGAUAAUACAAUUCAUGAUCAAUUAAUUCUUCAUACUGCAAAACAAUACAUACAUAUAUUAUGCUAAAUCUGAGACCAGCUAUACAAGAAGUCUAUGAGAAAUUAGUGGGAUGAAUAAUGAAAUAUAAAGUAAAAAAGAAUAGAAAAGAAAAGAAAAGAAAGAAGUUUACUUAAAAAAUUUUUUUCCCAUUGACUAAUGGUGCAAAAUGACAUAGGUUGUCACGGGCUGCCGGCUGCUGAGAUACAAGGAGAGGCGGUGGAUGUAAAAAAUCUUCAAUGCUCUCUAUGCACUGCUUGACAUUAUUGUCGUGUGAUGUACUAUGACCCAUAACAUAUCACCAAGUAGAAAAUGGUGAGUCAUAUAUUAUUUUCUAAUUUUUUUCUCACAAAGGGUGUAUCCUAAUUUAUGCCAGACUAAUUCUCCUGUGAUGAUGCAGAGCCUGCUCCAAAAAUGCAUCACACGAUAGCCAGCAGGAGUCUACCUCAUAAUUUUAAGGGCAAAGACCUAAGGGAUGCACCAUUCGAAUUGCCCGCCGGGAGCUAUAUAUUGUUUUCUAAUUAGUAAACAAAAUAUGUCCAAUCAUCAUAGUCAAUGGUUGAUUUUAGUACGUUACGCGGCAUGUCAUGUUGUGCAUAUAGAAUGUGUAAUACUUUCUCUUCUCAUCGUGGUGAUAGAUUCUCUAUGUAGCCAAAAUUGCCUACCUUACUUUCCCUUCUUAGUACUUCAUGUGGGUUGACUUCCUUCUGCAAGGUAUACUUGGGUGGAUUGAUAAUAGAGGAAUAGACAUGUUUUGGUCUUUUUUUUUGGUAAAUAAAGAUGCAUUAAAGUAAAAGUCAAGUCUACAGAGUGGAAAUUAAAGUACAAUCAUCCGUGGUGUAGUAACACCCUUUAAGUCUUGCAAAAGUAAGGGAAGGACAAAAUUAGGACAUAAUUCAAAAAAAGUGAAGUCUUGAGUGCUGCUUUUUCCCUAGUUUGCUAGGAUGUCUGCACAUUUGUUUGCUUCGCGAUAGUUAUGGUAGAAACAUAUUUGCUGGAAUGUAGUCAACAACUCCCUGCAGUCAACAAUAAUAGGCAAAAGUUCAUGAGAAAUGAGAUUAUUUGACUUACACAAGGAGAUGACACUAGAAGAGUCCAUCUCCACUUCGAGAGAGUGGAUGUUGAGGUUUUUUGCAAGUUGUAAACCAUCUCUAAGAGCCCAGCAUUCUGCGAAAGGAACGGAACAGGAGCCUAAAUUUCUUGCAAAACCAGCAAUCCAUAACCCAUUUGAGUCACGAAUUAUGCCACCAGCUCCUGCCUGGUUUAAUGAUCCAGAGACCGAACCGUCAGUGUUGAGUUAGGCAAAACCUAUAGCCGGGGGGAUCCAUCUAAUGAAUUUUUCCUAUCUAGGGGAUCUGGUGAUAUGAGAACCAGGUCCUAAUAGGAAAAAUUCAUGGGCAUGGUGAAGGCAAAACUUGAUAGGAUCAAGAGCAGUUUUUUGAAAGAUCUUAGCAUUGCGAGCUUGCCAAAGGCUCCAACAACCAAAGCUAAAGAUGGUUCCCCAGGGAAUAAGGUUAAAAGUGAAAGGAGCAUCCAUCCUUGAUCCAAGAAUAAAAAUCCGAGUUGGUUUGGGGACAGAUUUGAGAGCUUUGGGUAAGUUUAAGCCAAAAGGUGGUUGCUUGCUGACAAAGCCUUAGUACGUGGUCCGAAUCCUCAGAAGGAGCUGCACAAAAAGGGCAAAGGGCUUCGGAUAGAAUUGUACGAUGGGUGAGAAGACUUUUUGUCGGAAGUCUAUCCUCGGCGGCUAGCCAAAGAAAAUGCUUGACUUUUGAAGAGGUAUUAACAUUCCAGAUCCAGCGGAAGAGGGAUGGAGCUCUAAUAUCUACCUGACAUAAGGAAGGAUUUUUGCACAAAUUGAAGGUGAUUUAGAGUUGAAAACCCCAUUGUUGGAGUGAUUCCACCUAAGGAAGUCAUGAGAUGGAAUGAGUUCUUGUCUUGGUGUACCUUUGAUUUCCUUCAACAGCUGAAGGGAAAGCUGGAAGGAGAUUCUAUCUAGGUUCCAGCUGGUAGGGGAGUGAAAGAGUUGAAAGACUCUUAAGUCCUCUUCCCCCUAAGUUAGAGGCGCUUGGAUUUGGCUUCUGAUAGAACCGGAAUGUAGCCAUUUAUUUCCCCAGAAUCUGACUAUAUGCCCAUCUCUGAUAGACCAAAUUAUACCUUCGUUGAAGGUUUUGAUCCCAAUGUUUAGGCUUUUUUUUAUUUAUGGAGCCAUUUACAUUUUUGAGAUGGAGCAUAUGGGUGUUAAUGGAAUUAUAUUUAUCCACGUAAUAGUGCCUGAGGAUUUUCACCCAAGGUUUGUUACUCUCUUGGGUGAUAUUCCAACAGAGUUUGACUUUUGCAGCCUUGUUAAGCAAGGCAGUCUGUUUGAGUCCAAGUCCCCCGAGGUGUUUGUCUUUGGUGAUAUUACCCCAGCUAACCAAAUGAAUUUUUUGUUUAUCUUCUGAAGAACCCCAGAGGAAUCUUCUCUACUCUUUGUCAAUCUCAUGACAGAUUUUUUGUGGUAGAGGAAGACAUUGAGUGUAAUAAGCUGGGAUAGCAGAGAUGGAUUGUUGAGCAAUGGUUUUCCUGCCUGCUAGGGACAAGAGUUUGGAUUUCCAGCCUUGAAGUUUAUUUUUGACUUUGUCAAGAAUAAAAGAGUAGUUUCUCAUCGAAAGCCUGGAGAUGGUGAGGGGGAUACCCAAAUAAGCACCAAGGUGAUAUGAUGUUAAUUGUUAGCAAUUUUAUGGUUAAUUUCCCUCUUUGUUCUUGCCAAAUAUUGUUUUAAUUAUUAACAUAUACUUAUAUUUGGUAUUUGGCCCUAAUUACAGGAAGUGGAGCAAACAAGUGCUUAAAAGGAGACUUUCUUGAGACAAAUACUCCACAAAUGGGAUGUUUCUAAAAGCUCUACAAACCGGGCUCUACAUUGGACCACAAGCAGAUGGUCUUUCCUUUUGCUGAUUGGUAGUUAACUAGUAAUAGGUAGUUGGCUUGUACUAGGAAUACUACUAGAACUAGGAAACGUAAAAGAAGGAACAUUAAGUAGUGGUUUUAUUUUUGUUUUCUGCAGAAUUGGAGGAAGAACAGCCGCAUACUCACUUUCCUUUGUCCCUUCUAGUUUUCUUGGGUAUUCUCGACUGGAGACAAUGGGAGUUUUUCUUCUUGAUUAUUUGAACAAGCAAAUGCCUUUGAAUUAAUGGAAUCGCAUGGAAAUAUUCUCAUGAGGCGUGGCUAAGCUUCCCAUCUAGUCAAGGACCAACGUGACGACGCAGUACCGAACAUCUGUGAGAUCGAAUUAGUUUUCAUGUGUUCCUUAAUUUGUUAAUAUUUGCACGCAGUCUACUUGAAUUUUCAUGGGAUUAUUUGGUUAAUUGGAUGUCAAGGGCCCGAUGUUCAAUGUGACUUAUUAAUCUCUUGCUAAAGUAAUCAAUUAAAUCCGUAAUUGUUUAAUCGAUUAAUAUCAGUGGCAACUAGCAUUUCUACACACUAGGGGAACGUGCAUUCUGAUUUAAAUAACCCUCGUAGCGUGUUAUUAAUUGGGGUUAGGUUUUUCUAGUUCUUAAUGCAAUUGAAAAAUUAAUUUCUACGGUCGUACCUAGGGGUAUUUCCUGGUUAGGGGUAAUCAAUGGUCGUACCUUGGUUAUCAAUAAAUUAAGGAAAAGCUGGUCGUCAGAGUGUCUCGGUGACUAUAAUUAACCUGUUAAUAAAAUUAAGUGAACCUUCUUUGCAUCAAUGAUCGGAUGUAUGAACUAUGUCUGAAUAGUUGUAUCCUUGGCUAGAGUUUGUCUAUUAUUUAUUUAAUUCCUGUCUAUAUUCAUGUUAGUUAAUCGUUUACUUUUGGUUGAAUUGCUUAAUUGUUUUUAGUUUCAUUUAGAUAAAACUCCACCGUGUCCCGAACUUGAAAAGAAAUGAAUUACCCCUAGUCUCUGUGGAUUCGACCCUACUCACCGCUAUAUACAAAUUUGUAUUUUCUUGAGUAGGUAAUUAUUAUUGCACAGGUUUGGCACCUGUCACAAGGUCUUCAGUGGUGUUGAUGUUGAGCAUCUGAGAAAGGAGUGUUUUUUGCGUAGAAGGGGUAUUGAGGGAGAAAAGGACUUUUGAUUUCUCAAAGUUAACGAUAAGUCUAGAUUUGAGGCAAAAAUCAUUUAAGGUAGUUGUUACUGCCUAAAUGGAGGAAGAUUCAGCAGUGCUGAAGAAAAUUACAUCAUCUGCAUAAAAACAGUGGGAGAAGGUGGGGCCCUGUCUACCAAAUUUAAUUGGUUUCCACAGCUUUUCUUCACAUAGGAGUUCUAUUUUUUGAGAUAGGUACUCCAUGCAGCGAAUGAAAAGGUAUGGGGAGAUAGGAUCUCCCUGUCUAAUACCUCUAGAUGGGGUAAAAAAUUCUGUGAUUUGGCUAUUUAUGAUUAGGCCCAUCCUAGAAGAAGAGAUGCAUUGCAAGAUAAGAUUGAUGAAAAUAGAAGGGAGCUGGAAAUGGUAAAGGGCUUCCCUAAUAAAACCCAAUUCCAAUUUGUCAAAAGCCUUUUUAAGGUCGAGCUUGAUUGCACAAAGGCCAGUUUUCCCACUUUUUUUUUUCAAUCUAAAAAGAGCUUCUUGCACAAGCAGAAUAUUGUCUGAACAGCUUCUGUUAAGAAGGAAACUUGCUUGUGGCGGAGAGAUGAUAUCAGAGAGGAUAGGUCUUAGUCGGUUGACUAAGAUUUUUGCUAGUACCUUAUAGGCAGAGUUAAUUAAGCCUAUGGGUCUUAAAUGUUUCGGGGUUUCUGGGUCUUCCACUUUCGGAUAAGACAGAGGAGAGUAUCAUUGACACCAUGAGGGAAAGGUUUGAGCUCAAAGCAAUCAGAGAUCAGUUUAACGAGGGAAGGUGAGGUUUUAUCCAAAAUUUUUGAAAGAAAUAGGGGUGUAGCCCAUCUGGUCUCGGGGAUUUGAAAGGUUUAAGUUCAAAGAGGGCUUUUUUUAUUUCUUGAGGAGUAGGCUUAAGUGCAAGAGAUCUUAGGGGCUCAAGCUUUUGGUUUGCAAGGGGUAUGGGAAAAGGCUCAGGUUCUAGGUAAUUUGAGGUAAAGUCUGUGGUGAAGAGAUUGGCAAAGUAGGAUUUAAAGAUGUGUUUGAUAAGAGAAGGAUCAGUGACCCAAUUACCAAGUUCAUCUUUAAGAUAGGAGAUUUUGUUUUCUUUUCUCCUACACACAGCAGUGGUUUGAAGGAAUUUGGAACUGAGGUUGUCCCAGCAGAGACAGUCCAUUCUAGAUUUCAUUGCCUAAAGAUCUUUUUCUUGAUUCAGGACAUGAUUAUAUUCAGCUUGAAGAGAAAUUUCCAGCUGGUCCAGAAAGGUUGAGUGAUGAUUUUGAAGCGAUGAUUGAAUUCCCUUUAGCCCGUUGAGAAUUUUCCUUAUUUUCUUGAAUAUGUUCUCAAAGGUCUCAGAACUCCAAGAAGACACCAACUCAGAAAACUUGUUUAGUGGUAUCACGGAAGGGUUUGUUAGGGUUAUUCCAGACUCGAUCAACCAGGGAGGCAAAAGAAGGGUGUUUAAGCCAGAAUCUUUCAAGUCUAAAGAUUUUUGGAGAAGGGCAAGAGUGUUGGGGUUUGAGGUUAACUAGGAUAGGGUAGUGAUCAGAUCUAGUACGAAGGAGGUGCAGCACAUUGGCGUUAUCAUAAAGAAUGUACCACGAGUGAUUGCAAAAAGCUUUAUCAAGUCUUUCGUGGACGAUUUUUCCAUUGAUUCUUUUUCCAGUCCAAGUGAACUUUAGGCCGGAGAAACCCAUGUCCAUGAGUCCACAAUAGUCUAAACAAUUGUGUCGAGUUGAAUCGAGUUGAACUUGUGUCUAAACAAUAGUCUAAACAAUAGUGUUUAAAAGUUUAGACAAUUGCGUCUAAACAAUAGUCUAAACACAUGUAAACGAGUUGAGUCGAGUUGAACUUUGGCCUAAUCAAGCCGAGUCUCUAGUUAAUUUUAUGAUUCUUGAAUUCGAACUCGAACUCGAAUUCGACGAGUUCAAAAUAUCAACCUCAUUCUCGAGCUCGACUCAAAUUCGAGUCGAGCUUAAAAAAUAAAAAAAAAUUAUUAUUUUAUUUUUAAAAAAUAAAAUAUACUUAUUUUAUUUUUUAAAAUGAAUAAAAUAAUAAUUUUUUAAAAACAAUAAAAUAGUAGGGCUAUACAUAUGUAAUUUUACUAUUAAAAGAAAAAAUAAAAAAUUUAUAUAUAAUUGAGCUUGCGAACCAACUAGCUUAAUAUUUUUGAGUUCGAUCUCGACUCGAGCUCGAUGUUGACCGAGCUUGAUCGGUUCGAUUCGUAAGCAGCCCUAGUCUGUAAUGAUUGUGCCACUCACUCUAGCACAAAUGGUAGAAACUACACAUUUAAUUCUAAAAGAUUUUCUCAGGAAAUAGUUUCUGUCAAGAUUCUAAGAAACUAUUCUCACAACACACACACACACACACACACACACAUAUUAGGCACUGAUCCUCUCGCAUUAUUCUCAUAACUUUCCAGGAAUUCCAAUGACAAAAGAAAUAGUACAGUAUAUAAAGAUAGGAGGCGGACACGAGAUCAGGGGAAUGAAUGAAAUUAAGAAAGUUGUUCACAGGGCUGAUCUGACAAAAGUGGAGCCAUCAAUAAUACUGUGAUGGUUGUUGCUCAACAACUUCUCUAGCUCUCUCACAAAUCUGUCCAUCGCAAAGCCCGGGAGGCAAAUAGGAACCACUCUUCCUUUCUCCCCGUUCUUGUUCGUGACAGGUAUGUAAAAGCUCGCCACGCCGGGGAUGGCACUAACCCCGCCCUUGGCCGGGCCUCCGAACUCUGGCCUUCCCCAACCAAAGUCCACCUCAUUGAACCCAAUCCGAGUAACAUCCGACACGAGAUAAGUCCUCACCACGGUGAAAUGAGGCCUCCCUUUGAUAACCAUUAAAUCAGCCACCGAUUUCAUGUAAUCUUCAGUCACAUCACCUUUGGCCUUGGUCACCAGCUCCAACGCAUAUCUGAGAGGCCUCUUGCACAGCUCUCCGGCAGUCGUCAGGGCCACCGGAAAUCCAAAGGCAUUGCCGUAGUAUCCUUGUGGCAAGGGUGGAUCGAACUUGGAGCGAGCAUUGACGACGUAGAUCACGCGGACUUCCUCAUUGGGUUCGGGCUGGAGGGCGAUGGUUCGGCAAAGCCAGAGACAGGCUGUCAAAACCUCAAAUGUCGAACACUUGCGACUGAUGUCGAGCGGAUGGAUUUUCUCAAAGCUGACACCUCCGCCGGGCCAAAGAAGAAAGAGCGGUGGACCAUGUCGUCCAGGGGAAUUAUGGUUCCUUUGGUAUCGGGUACCUCAUCGUAUGCAUGAUGGAUGCACGUCACCCUUGGCGGGUCUCUGGCGUUCAGGCGCUCUCUCUGCCAUACUGGCAGUACAGAUGGGGCGGAAGCUCCCCGUGCGAUUUCGCCGACUGCAUUCAUGAACUGAACGAGUCCGGUAACGUCGGCCAUGGUGUGAUUCAGGCGCACUGCGAAGAUGAAACCCCCGCAUCUCAAACGAGUCACCUACAAUACAAGUACUCAAUUAUGAUCAGUAAGUAGAUAUACAGCAGUACUAGUAGUUGUUUUCAUGCAGUAAUUGCGACUGGAAUUAAUUUAUGAAAUUAGCAGUACACGUGACAAAGCAGUUAAUCAGACCAGACCAAUGCAAUCGAUCAGAACAGUCAACCCAAGAAAUUUGUCAUCUUUUGAUAUUUUUUCAAUUUUAUUGUCAUAAGAGUAAAAUUUUACUACUAAAGAUAACUGCCUAAAUUCAGUAACUUCUAUUUUAUAUAUUUUUUUUUGCCAAAAAAAAAUUCAUACGAUUUAAAUAAAAACAACUUCUUAAUUUGUACACUCAAGUAUUCAACUCUAAAUUCACCCCCUAAAUCCUUGGAGAAACAACCAAGACGAAAAUAGACAGCUCCAGCCUCACCUCAGGGACAAAUCAAGUCAAAAAGAGAGAGAAGAGAGAGAGAGAGAGAUAAAAAACGCAACAGUAAAGUUGGUUUAGACCUGUAUAAGCAGUAAAGGACAGUGAAGGACUCCUGCAGACUCAGGAACAUCAUAGAGGAGCUCCUCCAGGCAGGGGAAUGGAGGCUGAAGUUCUUCCCCAAACUGCUCCAGCGUCACCUCUGCAUCCGCUUCAAUGAACAUGACACCCUCCCCCGUGCAGUCCACCACCAGCUUCCUCCCGGCGCAUUCUCUGAGACGCCCCGCGAAGGGUAGUAGAACACCAGAGCCUUGGCAAUAGCCUCCCUGAUCACCUUCACGGGGUCUCU